RNAcentral lists this long non-coding RNA (53077 nucleotides) under Oryza sativa (Asian cultivated rice). RNAcentral's name for it is "long non-coding RNA (OSAT_LNC001583)". Lineage: Eukaryota; Viridiplantae; Streptophyta; Magnoliopsida; Poales; Poaceae. The record is from RNAcentral.
AACGGCUCUGGUUGAGAGUCUCCCUCCUUUUCAGUCCGAUGCGUUUGAGCAGUAGUCGUUCCCAUCCUCUUGAUUUCCGAGUCUCGUGAAAGAAAUCCAAUGCGAAAAAGACAGCAACGACCUUCUGAUAGUUAGGAAAAAAAGGCAAUCCAUGUUCCGCCCUUCCUCUUUCGCUUGUUUUGGCUGUGAGUUCUUCUAUUGAAUCUGUUGCGAGAGCGUAUUCUCUUAUCUAAGCUUCCUCCCUUCGCUCCCCCCAUCGUAGAUGGUUCAGCCACACCCGGUGCCACGAAAUGAUUGAGAACUACGACGGGGUCGAAAUGCAUUUUGUUCUUUGUAUUAAAAAAGUAUUGCAUGACCGAAUAAUUCAAGGAGGGGCGCACAGCGGGGAGGGUCCUUUUUAGUAGAUGACUCGUCGGGCCGUCAUUUUCUAUCAGGAAGGCUAUGUCAUUUACAACCCCGGCAUAUUUCGGAUGCUUGAAGGCCCCGCUCACCCGAAGUGAUUUAGAAAAAUUCUUCUUUCUCGAUGAGAUUAGCACAUUUUUCCUUAUUUAGUACUGGUUUGUGAACUGCCUCUUCUCCCAAGGAAACUACUUUCUGGGUAUCGACCGUAAUAGGCAGAGGGCGCGGUAUAGGAAAGGAGUGGAUCAAAAGUAUCUGCGCAGAAAGAAGAGGAACAAAGGAAGGCGACAAGAAGGCCAAGCAUGCCCGACGAGUCAACUCUUUAAAAAGCUAAAAUAGAUGCCAACCGCACAUGAAUUGCAAGAAUGUGGUUAGUGAUUGAUUGUGAAAGCAACAAUUGAAUAGAAAAAUAAGUUGAAGGAGCUGUCAGCGAGAAAAUGUUGGAAUAAAGGGUCUUGGCAUGUAGUCUGGUCCAACCACAACGAUAGGGAUUGGAAUGAAAAGUGUUUGCGCCCACCUCACCAACCAUCUUGUCCCGAUACAUACCUUCCCCUAGCAAGAGAUCAUGGUCAGUUCUUUGUACAGCCCAUGGUAUGAUAUUUGUCGAGAAGAAAAGAAUGGCAGCCGUGUUAUCACAGUAGAUCACGGUUGUCUCAUAUGCAUGCUUAGUCACAUCAAGACAGAGAAGAUAAUUUCUCAGCCAUAUUGCUUCUUGAACUGCAGCCGUGCAUGCUAUAUAUUCUGAUUUCAUGGUAGACAAAGAGAAACAAUCUUCUUUCUUACUGCACCAAGAUAUUGAGCCUCCUUCAAGGAUAAACAUAUACCCUUGCCUUUUUUCGUCCAUCUUUAUCAGCAGAUCCCUCGGCAUCGCUGUAUCCAACUAAAUGAAAACUACCACCUUGGUAGCAUAAGGCGAGAUUCAUCGUACCACGUAGGUAACGAAGGAGACUCUUUACUGCCAUCCAAUGAAAAAUUCCGGGAUUGCUUUAGUAUCGACUCACCAUACACAUCUUCUACCUCAUCACUGUCAUCAUUUGCCGGUGCAGAUAAUGACACAUGCUCCUCAAGGAUAUCAACAGAACCAACCUUUUGUAGGUAGCAAAACAUCUCACUCAGUAACUAAAUUAGAGUUCGAUCUUUUACAUUUAUGUUGUCUUUUUGCAUUUAUGUUUCGAUCCGACAUCAGAUCUGAGUUAUUGUUCACUGACUAUAUCUUAGACCAUUGCGAUCUCUUUCUUUCACUUGGUUUUUCUGCCUUCCCUUCGGUACUCCUUAACUCGGAGAUACUCCUUCGGUACUACUUGGCUACUACUUGAACAGAUGGGUUUAGUCCCUUCCUUCGGGCAACGUUUUCUCCUGGUACCACCGGGUUGAAAGAAAUCCCUUACUAUUAGGACAUAGUGUUCGGUACGACUUAAGGCUACUGGAUUUACUUUCUUUAAUGUUGCAUCUGCUUUCAACUAUUUCAUAGCCUCCCGUCCCGAGCAAACGUCAAGAGCAGGGUGUUGAGCCAAAAAGUAAAAUCCAUAGAGUUGGGGACUAAAGAGACUCUUUUUUGACAGCCAACCAUGAAGAGAAGAGAGUCUCAGAGUAGAUUUGGUAAUGUUGAGUCGAUCUAGUAUGGAAAAUUCCUCGCUGUGCGCUCGCCUUUUGCCUGCUUCUGCUUCAUCUGCGGAUUCCUUCCCCAGAGUUCUUACUUAUAGGCUUUAUAGCCAAGCAGUCCAAUAGAAUAGCUGCUUCUUCUAAAGCGGAUUAGAGUGCGACGACCAAAGCUACGGAGCAGCCUCUACCGCUUUCCCCACUGUUCUGGUUGAACUAGGGCUUUGGCUGAGCGACCACCUUCUUCCAGUAUUCUUAGCUUACUGUCUGCUUCCUGCCUGAUCGGUGCUGACUGACUGUUCUUGCUUGUCUUGGGCCUGCUCUAGUUUUGGUGCAGCUAACUAAGGGUCGAAUUUCGUGACUUGAUGAAGAGGAAGCCGAGUAUCUUUGGUAUUGAAGAGUCAGGCCAAUCCAACCCGCUUGCUCCUGCCCAACUCAGUCUCAGUCGUACCAUAAUCCUGCCCAACUUUUCUUGCUCCAAGACCACCCUCUAGCCCUCAUGUCAAAUAGAUGAAAGAAUUGUAAACAAUCAUUCUCACUUUUGGCAUUGUUUGAUGUGUGGAAUACGUGAUGGUGUCACGCCCGGAAUUUCUAUCCAAAAUUCCAAACGCUUACAUGUGUGUGAACCCUCGUCCAGGAAUCAGCCGAGGCACACAAUAACAAAUUGAUAAUAGAGUACAAUUAUUACUCCAAUUAAUAGGCGAAUAAAAUGUCAUUACAGAGGUAGAUAGUUCCUCUCAAUCAAUAAAGAUCUAAGCAGCGGAAAAUAAAAUAAACGGCGCGGACGGCUCCACUCCACAAGCAGCUUGACUAAGACUACACCUAAUCCUCCACACCAUCAGCAUCAUUGUAGAACUCUUCCUCUGAUGAAUGAUUGCAAGGUGAGUAUAUGACAUACUCAGCAAGCCACGCAGCAAAUAUGCAAGUGCACAGGAUAACAAAGGAUGGCAUAGUAGGGUUUCAUUUGCAAAAGCAGCAUUUAGCAAACAUUUCAGAAUUUAAUAAAACAGUUAAGUAAUAAUUAAACAAUAUUAAUCCAACGCUAUACAACAUACCCUGUUGUAUAGGCCCAACCAUUCUGAACAACCAUCCCAGCUGCACAGUUCUAUCUCCAAACCAGGAAUAUACCAUUCCAAACCAGGAGCUAAACAAAUUAUUACCAGUUAUAGCAUCUUUUAUUAUGGUGAGAAGUGUGAAACUAAUCACGAAAGACAUUGUUAGACCUGCCCAUAACCGCGGGCGCGGCUAUUCGAAUAGUUUUACUCUGAUCAGAGGUGUACCACUGUACCCACAAGACACAACCCCACAUCAUGUCACCAUGUGCCUCAAUACCACCACGGUACCUCGGAAAGGAGUUGUGACAAUACCCCUUGCAUAACACAAUCCACUACAGCGCACCUUUCCUGGAUCAUAAUCACCCCCUUAAAAACAAGGCAUGGACUCCCCAGCGACCCCCGUGGGCUUAUCUCCGCCACUUCUCAGUCUGGUGCCCCGCAAUGAACCAUGCUAUACAAAAGAUAAAGUCGUUGCCCACGCUGGCUUGUGGUUGGCACGGUUAAUGUUUCACAACCGAAACUCGUGAACCGGUCCUUAAUUGUCAUGAGCACGACUCUCAAAACCAUGUGCUCACAACCCACAAUUAUCAAGUUUUAGUUGGCACAUUCAUUAAUUAACCAAUCACGAUUGGCCAUCGUGAACUAUCAUUAAGCCAUCAUUAAAUAAUAGUGAGUCAUAAGUUAUCCCAAUAAUGUGCUAAUGUUUCUAAGCAUGGCUAAGCAAUCACAUCUAAUAUCUAGCUGAACCAAUAUGUAAAGCUCAACUAGUCAAGUUAUAAUAACACAGGUAUCAAGGAAUAAAGUAAUCAAGAACAAAAGGGCUAUAACAAACAAUAGGUUAAUUCCACCCAAUGACAUUCGAAAAUAAAUGCAAUAUUUGAAUAGAAACAGUAGCUUUAAACGGGAUCAACAUGCUCAAAGGGUUGUUUGGGAUCUGUGUGACUUGCCUUACUGGCCUUGGAACUCUUCAAACUCUUCUCCUGCGAAAACGGACUCUCCGGAAACGACGGAAUCUAAGCAAAAAAGAGCAAAAUCACCAAAACAGCACAUAAACAAGCAUGAACAGUACAUGUGGAUAUUUUUAACAUGUAGAUCUCAAUUUUAGAAAAAAUUAGAGACUUGAACCAACUAAAACGGAGCUAAGAUGAAUUAGUUAUGAAUUUUUGAAGAUUAAAUCGGAUUAAAACACUUAAAUUGAUUUUAAUUGAAUUAUGACGCAAUAAUGAAUUAUUUUUGAAAAGGAAAAGGAGGAUUAUUGCGUCAGCGGGCUAGGGUUUCGGUGGACCGGGCGCACGGGCGACGGUUCACGCGAACGGACGGCCGGGAUCGAUCCAUCCAAAACGGACGGCCGAGAUCGAUCGGUCUACGACCGGCUCACGGAAGAGGGCGACGAUGACGUCAGCGAUGACGUCACCACCGGCGGCGGCGGCUCGGCGGCUCGGGCUUGCAUGCUCGCCGGCGAACGGCGGCGCUUCGGCACGAACGGAGAGCACCAACGGGUAGAGCGCGACGCGGCGAACUCACCGGUGACCAAAGGAGCAGCGGAAGAUCAACGGACGGUGACGGCGACGACGAAGAAACGGCGGCGGUCUUCGGGUCGACGGCGGCGAUGGUGCUCCGGCGAUCUUCGGCGACGGCGAAGGGGCGGACGAGGACGGCGACGCGACGACGACCACGACGGCGGUCUUCCCGAGCGACGGCGACGUCUGGAACGGUGGCGGCGCACAGCUGGAGCGACGGCGGCGACGGCGGCGCUAGGGCACACGGCGCUAGGGCGCUACGGACGACGAGAGGCGAAGGCGAAGGUGGCGGCGGGUAGAGAAGAGCUCGGGGGUCCUUUUAAAGGGGCUAGGAGGCGACGGCGAAGGCCCACGGCGGCUGGCGACGAGAAGGAAGGUUUAGGGUUCGGAGGAAAGAGACCGAUCCGAUUCGAACUCGAAUCAAACACAUUCCAAACCGAUUUAGCCGAUGUUUCCAAAGGAGAAAAGGUAGAGGAGAUCCCAAAGAUUGUUUCCCCUCAAUCAAUUUCACCGGAAACGAAAAGGAACGGCCGGAUUUUGGAAAGGAACGGCGGCGGCGCGAAACUAGGGUUUCGGGCGGCGGCGGCCGGAGGUUGACGACGACCCCACCUGUCAGCGGGCGGAUGCGCGCGCGCGCGGCGGUGGACUGGGCCGACUUGGGCCGAGGAGAGAGAGAGCGGUUUUGGGCCGACUUUCGGCCCAAAGCCAAAAGAAGACUUUUUAAAACCUUUUUCAAUUUAAAUUAUUCAUGAAAUGCAAUUCCAUUUAUUAAAAAUACUUCCUUAGCUCAAAUAAAUCCCAGAAAAAUCUAGGAAUUAUAGAAUUAAGCAAAGUAUUUAAUGAAAUUUUAUCUGGCCCCAUUUUAUAUUGGAAUUUAUUAAUUAAAAUUAGAUCUUCUCUUCAAGACUUUUAAAAUUAUUUCUAAAAAAUUCCAAUUAAACAACAAUUUAUAUAUUUUGAAUUUUCAGGGUGUGACAGAUGGACUAUGUGAUGGACUUUUGGCAUUGUGAUUUGUGCAAUUGGAACUGGUUUUAGUCUGUAUGAAACUGUGAAUUGUGAUUUGAAUUGCGAACUGUGAAUUGGUACAUUUGUGCAAUAUGGAUCUUCAUUUUGCAGGGAGGCAGAGGGCGGUGCUAGCCACCCUGGUGCCGCAGUUGGGGAGGGCGGCGCCAGCCAGUUGUCACGCCCGGAAAUAUACACCAUUUCCAAACGCUCAGUGCAUUAAUCCUCGUCCCAGGAGGCAAGGUACACAUAGACAUUGUUGAUUAUUACAAGCCACACUUGCGGAAGUGUAAAGGAAGUACUUUAUUACAUGGACGACUCAAGCCCUCGCACUCAAAGAUAAACAAAUAAAACAGCGGAAGACUACGGAACAGCAGCAGCCACAGGCACUCGACGGCGGAGUGAACUAGCCACACUUGCGGAAGUGUAAAGGAAGUACUUUAUUACAUGGACGACUCAAGCCCUCGCACUCAAAGAUAAACAAAUAAAACAGCGGAAGACUACGGAACAGCAGCAGCCACAGGCACUCGACGGCGGAGUGAACUAGAGAUCCAAGCCUUCAUCUUCCUCAGGUCCAUCCUCUGGAUUAUUUUUGUGAGCAAGAGUGAGUACCACCACCGUACUCAGCAAGUCACACCAGAAAUGCAACAAUAAUGCAUAGGGAGAAACAAGGAAAUGGCCUAAUAGGGUUUAUUUUGCAUAAAGCCAUAGUUUAAACAUUUUAAUCAGGUUAAAGCACAUUUUAAAACACGAUCCUAUUCUAAGCCAAUAUUAUAAUAUCACCAAGGUCGCAUGAGCCUGCGAACCUGCCUUAAUCUCCACAUGACUACACCAUCAUGAUUUCACCCACCCAAGGUUUUGUAAAACAGAACUAACUUUGGGUACACUGCUCAGCUUGCCCAUAACCGAGGGCGCGGCUAUUCGAAUAGUUUUUAACUUUGAUCAGAGGUGUACAACUUUACCCACAAGACACAACCUCAACACGCGUUGCCACGCGCCGGGUACCACCACGGUACUCGGAUAGAGGUCGUGACAAGACUAUCCAUCUAGGUCUACCCAAAAUAGGAGAACCUGCUGGGGUUUCGCCGCCCGCUGGUCCCCGACAAGGUAAAGGUUGUCGGAUCCCCCGGAUGAGACAGGCCCCCCCUUGCGCCGAGUGAAAAAACGGCCUUAAUCCUGGCUCCACACCCUUCCAACCAAUGGUCUCUGUUUUGAGAAGAUCUAAACUUCCAGUCAGGCCUUACCCACUAGACUUGUGGUUGCACGAAGAUGCCUUGCAAUAGAGGCCCGAAGACCGGUCCUUAUAUUAGCCGGGGUGCGACUACCAAAGUAACUAGCUUAGACCCUGAGCCCAACCCAAAAAUAUAUUUUAGUUGCACAAAGCAUUUUAUCACCACCUAUUGACAAACCCGUCAAUAGUCCAUAACUAAUCCAGUUUUAGUUGUUAACCACCAUAGUCUAGUUUAACCAAAAGUUCUAGGUUGGAACUAAGCAUAACUAAGCAUUUACCUAAAGCAACUAGUCAGUCCAUCAUGUAGGGUACUAGACUAGUCAAGUUAUAAUUUUACUAGGGUUCACAAAGAUCAUGGAUAUCAAAUCAACAUCAUGGCCAUAACCAAGAGCAUAGGAAUAACUAAUAAAACAUUAUUAAUAAUGAACGAUAUAAUUUAUAAAGCAAUGCAAUAUAAGUAAAACAACAUAAUUUUCACAAUAUGGGAUUCAACAUGUUCAAGGUAGAUAUGACUUGCCUUGAUCACUCACAAAGUCUUCGACGUCGACGGCGAUGAAGAGCCGAUCUUCCGGAACGGCAGGAUCUACACGACCAAUGCGAAGAAAUACAAAAAGGCUAAUAAAAACCAUAUGAACAGAAGCAAUAAACACAUAAAUGGGUUCUACUCAUUUUUAGGAGAAAUUAGAGAUUUGAACGGGUCGAUUCCGAGUUCAAACAGUCAAGAUAUGGCCAUUUGAAGUUUAUGUGCUGUUUAAAUGGAAAUUUGUAAUUUUGUGAAUUAUUUUUCUAAAGGAAAUUGAUUUAUUGCACAGAGAAGAGAGAGAGGGGUCCACGGGCGGGUCCUACUUGGCAGCCGCUCGGUACACCAUGAGGGCGGCUCACGGCGCACAAGCACGGCCGGGAAGGAGAAGCACCCGAGCCAGGCGGCACGCCGGCGACAGCCAACGGCGCGGCGACGGUGCGACGGAGUACGGGAAGGGGAAAAACGGAAAGGGGAGGAGACGACGGUUCGCACCGAGCAGACACGGCGGCGAGAGGUCGACGGUGUUGUCGGCAGUGAGGAAGAAACGGCGAGGAACUUCGGGUCGUCGGUGUCGUCGUCGUUCCCGCGGUCGUCAUGCUCCACGGAGGGGUGGACGGGGAAGAGGAGGAAGCGGCGAAGCGGAUGGUGGCGACGCCGGGCUCCGAUGAGGUCCCGACCACCGGCGAGGGGCGGCCGGAGUUGCGACGGCGGCGGCACAAGAAGAGAGCGGCACGUGGGCCGCGGAGAGAGGAGGGAGAGGGCGGCGGUGUGAGGGGAGAGAGGAGGGAGUCGGGGGUCCCUUUUAUAGGCCGGAGGGGAGGGAGAGAGACGCCGGGUAGGGAGAUCGACGCCGGCCAUGGUGGAGCUCACCAUUAAAGAACAUCAUCAAAAUCCACCACGAAUAAUGCGGGAUUGAGUGGGAAAUUAUGGGGAAAUUGGAGAGGAUGAGGUGGGAAUUAAUUCCCCUCAAUUAAUUUGAUGAAACGGCAAGUGGAGGAGGCGAAUCGGAGGUUGCCGUCGCUUGGAAUUCGGCCGGAGAGAGAGAGGAUGGCUGGAGGUUAGGGAUGACGAGUGGGACCCACCUGUCAUCGAGAGGGAGCACAGCUGUCUCUGGCUGGGCGCGCGGAGGAGGCAAAACAGACUUCGGACUUCGGUCUGCGGGAGGGGAGGAGCUGGGCUGGCCCAAGGAGAGGGAGGGGAGGGGAGAGAGGGAAGGAGAGGGGGCGGCUGGGCCAAGAGAGGGAGAGAUGGAGAGAUGGGCCAGAAGAGGCCCAAGAGGAGGAAGAGGACUUCUCUUAUAUUUUCCAUUUUAUAAAAUUCUUUAAUAGUUUUUGUUGCCUUAAAAAUAUUUAGGAUGCUCUGAAAAUUCAAGUAAAAAUUAGUUAAACAUUUUUAAGCAUGGGGAAUUUAUUAAAAAUACCCACAAGCCAAUUUGAUAUAAAUCUUGGUGAAUUUUAAUUGUUGGAAGCUCUUUUAGGCUUUUAAAAUUUCUAGAAAUGCAUUAAAGCACGAUUUAAAUUUAGGGCGAUUUUCAGGGCGUUACACCAGUGCCGCGAGGCAGAAGGGUUUCGGGGGGGAGGAGGGCGGCGCCAGCCACCCUGGCGCCGUGGUCCGUGAGGGCGCCGCCAGCCUCGGCCCAGAGGCAGAAGGUCCUCGGGUGGGGGAAGGGGGCAGCGCCAGGAUGGCUGGCACCGCGGUCUGGGGGGGGACGCCAGCCAUUGCCCGGAGACAGAAGAGACUUGGCGAAAAUUGGGGGGGAGAAAGUUGGUGGGGCCCGCAGAGGAGGGGUGCGCUAGACAAGCUAGCGCUGUGGUAUGAGGGGCGGCGCCAGGGUGGCUGGCGCCCCGCUCUGCCGAGUCAGCAAGUCCACGUAGGCCCUGGUGCCACGGUGGCACGGCCGCGGCGCUAUUGUGGCUGGCGCCGCUAUGUUGGAGGACGGCGCCAGCCUCUCUGGCGUCCCAAAAAGGACCAUUCCCGGUUUAAGUUUUUUCAGGGGUCUAUUUGUAAAAUAAAUUUUCAAAAAGGACCAAAAUGUAAAAAUUUCAGUGAUGAUAAUACCAAGCAUUUUUUCUGAACUCAUAGCCUGCAACAAAAAAAAAAUCCUCAUCAUUUACACCUAAAAGUUAACAACCACUUACACCUAAAGUUACUUCUACAGUAAGCAAAAUUACGUCAUAGAAAAAUAGUUUUCUAGUAUCUUCCUGAUGGAAUCUGAAGUUAAGCACAUUAAUUCCAUUCGCCCUAUAAAAACAUCUACUCUAAAACCAGUGACCUAUAAGUACAUCCAUUCCCUCUAACCCGAGCAAGCCUUCGUCCAUGGUGCUCUAUAAACAACUAACUACAAGCUAUGGUAUCAGGCUUCUCGACACUAAAAUAAAAAAAUUCAUGGACAAAAUUUUGACCAUGCAGGGUUCCUCGACCUAAUCCUGUGCAUGCAGCAAGUAAACACAUACUAAAUUAACACCAACAAUACAUAGCACAAAGGUAAUCCCUACUAAUUUUAAAGCAAAGUACUAAUUUGGGUCGAAUUCCAACACCAUGACAUCCACAUCCUAAUUUUUUGCACUAGAAAAUCACACAUAAUUGCACAGAGGCAUUCACGGAAUGCAUUUACAGAAAACUUAUCUAUAGGUCAUAUGACAAAAUCCCAAAAUCCGUGUGAAAAUCUCCAAAUGUGGUGCUGAAACCAAUUGAAAUCACAGACCAAAAAGGGAACCUCAGUGAUUUGCAUUAGACAAAAUUAGAAGUAAAAGGGAUGGAGAGAUAUGUGAGCACUAAUUUGACCUUAAACAUGUUUGUACGGCAACAGAGCACCGAACUAAAGUAGCCAACAGAAGAGCUCAAAGAGAUGAGACUACCUGAUUUGCACGAUGCGCUUCACUGCUCAGCCUAGCGCUCGCCAUGGUCGUCGCCCCUGCUAGAUCUCGCCUCAAGCCUGGUGACAACAACGAGGAAGACCUUGUGCUCACCGUCGCCCCUCUCCGCUCGGUGGAUGAGUCGCUGUCGCCUCCGCAGAAGCCAGCAGUCGCCGACACCGUCGCCGUCGAGGGAUUUGGGGGAGAAUCCGCAGCCUCUGCUUCUCUCUCUCUCAGACGCGACUCCCGAUUUCAAACAGUGAAGCGGGAUUGAGUGCGACGUUCAGUCUAAGAGCAGGUACAAUAGCAGGCUAUUAGCCAGCUAUAAACAUAUUUUAAUAAGAUAAACGAUGAGAGAGAAGAGCAGCGGGCUACAGAUAUGUAGCCAGCUGCAGCACGGACUCCAAGAUACACUGCGUGUAUGACAGGUGGGACCAUAUAUUAAUAGUAUAGUAAGCAGCUAUUGUAUGAAUUGGCUAUUAGAUUGGCUAUAGAUGAAUUAGAGCUAGUAGUGGGCUGUACUAUUAGACUUGUUCUAAGGCCUCUCACAGUGCAAGCCAUGGGGCCCGUACCCCUCGCCUAAAAAAUUGGCCCAGAGACACCCAUUCCAUAGUGCAAGCACAUCUAGUUGUGUGGUUUAAUUGAAUGGAGGCACUAGUAAAGGGUACCAAGCCCACAGUGGGCGUGACCCCAGACGCGUUACCACACAAUUAUUUCUCUCAACUACCCUCGCCUACUACUCGCGCGAGCCUUUUGCCUCCCCUCCUCGGCGCGACCGCCUCCUCCUCUCCUGCCACGCUCGCGCGCCUCCUCGCCUCCCACAAAACGGUGAGGUUGACGGUGCCGCCUCGUCGCAAGAAAUCGCGCGCACCGGCGAGCCUUUCCCCUCCCUCUCUGUCCCACGCUCUGCCUCUCUUCUCUCACGCGUGGGAGGAAGCGGGCUCGGGAGAAGGGCGGGAGCGGAUGGCGGCGAGGAGGAAGCGGGCGAGGGAGAAGGGCGGAAGCGGGCGGCGUCCCCGGUGGCCGGCGCCGGCUCUGCUUCUCUUCUCCUCCCUCCGGCAGCCACGGUUGCCGGCUCGCGCGGUGGCUGGCCCGGCAGCGGGAGACGUCCCCGACGGGAGCAACUGGCGCGGCGGCAACUAUGAUGAAGUCGGCGGCGGGAGGCGUCUCGGGCGGCGGUGGCGGCACCUUCUGGGCGGCCGGUUCUUGGCGGCGUGCGGCCGCCGGUUCUUGGCUUGGCUGCGCUUGAUCUAAUGAUGGAUUGGCUCCAACUCCGGUUAUUGAGUGUUGUUUUUGUGCAUGUGAGAUGUGUUGUUCAUUGGUUAAUAUGAGAUCUGGGGCCUGGAUUCCUCUUGUGUUCUUGGGACGGAUCGAGAUUUCUUUGUUUCUUUUGCUUCUUGGUGAUUCCUCUUGUGUUCUUGGGACGGAUCGAGUUCUUGCUUGGGGUGUUUCGGUGGCGGAAAGAAGGAAAUAGGUGCGGCGGGAGAGGAUUUUGGAGGGCAAAUCGAAGAUUUCACCAGGAGGUAUGGGCGCGAGGUCACGGGAGAGCGAGGCGACGCUGCCCACAGCGCGCGUGCCCGUGACUUUCGGCAACGCGCGCUCCCUCGCUUGGACCAGGUUCCACGCGGCUCUGCUUCGGGGCGAGGAGCUCAGCUAGGGCGCGCAUCUGUCGGGUCCCAAAACUAAUGAUUCGGAAACCGACAUGUUUAACUGUAUCAAGCCCUGGAUCAGUAGGUUGAUACAACUUCAAUAAUCUGGAUCGUCUUUGCAUAUGUUUAGACAUAGCUUUGAAGGAUAUAUAAAGUAAUAUGGUAUUUACGAGAUUGUGGCUAACUAUUACAGCAGAAGCUUUAGAAUGACCCAACUUUGCUGUUUUACUAUAGACUUAAACCAUCUAAAUAACUUAGACUUGAAGAUUAAGUUAAAAGGGAACUAACUUAUGUGAUUGAACUCCUGACUUCGGCAAGAACAUCAAAUGGACUCUUAAAAAGGAGGUUGAAGCAAGGGUGAGUACAACGUACUCAGCAAGCUAUUAUAUCAAAUAAUGAAUGCAUGAAAUAGUAUUUAAGUAGAUCUAGGUUUACUGGCUGAAAGCUGAGAAUAGAGAAAGAAAGCUUGGGAUGUCUUUAUGCAACAGUAUUUAGUAAAAUCUUGAAUUAAGUUUCUAACCAAAUACCAUGAGUCCUGAUACUCAAUCCGUGAGUAUGGCUAUUCGAAUAGAUUCAUUUUCACUUUACUGCAGUAAAUGUACGCUUUACCCGCAGUCCACGACUUGCCAAUAUUCAUUAGCUUAGUCGUAGCCCAGCCUUAGGUUAUUAACAAUAGUGGCCCCUGUUCCAUAAACUCUAGUCCCCAUGCGCUCUGAACGUAACGUUAUCAGCAGCGAGAGGAGUUCUGGUGUUCCCGAGGUUUUUAGAGAGAACUAGUUGAGAGACCCCACGUCAUCUCAACCAGGUUUCCAUAAAAUCACACACACAGCGAUCGUAAUAUAAUCAAGAUAUUUAUCUGCGCCUCGGUAAAUAUCACAUUUGCCCUUCGCGGCAUAAGUUUGCCUCCUUCGCGAGGACUUAGAUAAGAACCACUGUACAGAGAUACCACAUUGUUAAUUAACCUAAUAACUAGGUCUAUCCCCAUUCUAGAAGCUGCGGUCGUACUCGUUCGUUUGACAUAAGUAUUCGGUGGCAAUUAUAUCGAUCGAGACAGUACUAGCCACCCGGAAAUCAACCAAAUCUUACGUACUGUCCCAAUCGAAGUUCAUUAAAUUUUAUGCAUAUUCUAACUAAGCAUGGCUAAGCAAAAUCUAGCAUAUAUCUGGUUUGCUAUAUGUUCAGGUUAUGCAUUCAAAAUCAUGAAUGGCUAAUGCAUAGAAUAAAGCUAUAGAGUAUAGGAUAAUUAUACUCAAAGGAGAGGAAUAAUAACUUGCCUUGCUCCAACGCAAAUAAAUCCAAGAUAGGCAACCUGAUUAUCCGAUGCUCGAAAUACCACAGGUUGCCAUCCAGAAUAAAAUAGACUCUAUUAAAGAAGAGGAAUAACCAAAUUCAAUAAAAGCCAUAAAAUAGCAAGAAAAUGAUGAAAGGCGAGAAAAGCUAGGUUUGGGGUAUAACUAUCUCUUUAAUGGGUUAUUGAGAUAGUAUUUUAUGCGUAGGCUCUAGUUGGUUGGAGGCUAGGUUGAAGAGGGAAUCAAGAUUAGGCUUUGGUGGAAUAGUGGCUAGGGUUUAGUUGUUCUCGAGUCGAUGCUGAAAUAGGAUAGCAUAUCGGCUCGUAUUUCAUGUUUAAGCUAUGGGUAGUUGGAGGAUAAAUGGCUGGUAUGGAGUUUGAAUAGCAGGCUGGAUGGCUAGGGUUUCAUUUGAUUAAGCCGAUAUCGAGGUAGGAUAAACAUCGGCAAGGGUUUUGGGUAUUUGCUAGUCGUCAUUAGAAUUGGGUAGUAUGACGACUAAGUUUGGUAUCUUCUCUAGCCGAUAUCGUUGGACAAUAUAUCAGCUAGAGAAAUAGGAGGUGGGUGCAGGUUUAGUGGGGCGGAAGUGUUACUCCGGCAACCGUGGGUAGCGACGGAGCGGCUAGGAUUACACAGAGCUUAAAAGCUAACUGUGUGGUGUACAGUUGAGGUCGACUGAAUAGUGAAGCUCUGAACGUUAUACGCAUUGAGGCGUAAGGUGUUAGGAGCAACACUUCGACUUUAGAUUUGGGUUUUGUCUGACUUUACAACCAACGGUUCGACAUCGGGGGGUCAGUAGACCGUACGAACGUCCCCAUGGAAGGUGUAAAGUUUCAAACGGUGGUUGUUUAGUGGCAAAGGGUAAUUUGAGCUAAAAGAAGAUAUUUGAAAAGGUAAAUAUAAAUUCAAACGGUAUCAAAUAAAAUGAUCAAAUAGCAAAUUUGAUAUCAAAAUAUAGCUUUUGAAUUAAGAUGAAUUUAGGUCCAAAUUUCACCGGAAUCGGAUCUACGGUUUAGGAGAUAUGUGCUUCUAAAGGAUAGGAUUUGAAUUAACUAAGAAAAAUAUGAAAGGCUACUGUUGAUGGGCCCACCUGUCAGGGAGAUUCUUUUCUUUUCUUUUUCUCUUCUUCCUCCCGUCUUCUUCUUCCUUCUCUUCUUCUUCCCGUGCAACAGCAGAGAGAAAGAGAGAAGGGGCGCCGGUGCUCCGAUGGUGGAACGGCCUCGACGGCGGCGGCCAAGUGUGUUACCGGACAACGCGCACCCGGGGAAGUGGUCGCCCAGCGAAGGAGUUAGGAGAGGAGGCCGGAACGGCAAGUAGAAGAGCUUCUCUUCGGCUGCAAAGGAGGUGGUUAUGGUGGCUUGAUGGAGUGGAUAGGAAAGAGGGGAAAGGGGAAAAAUGGAAUCAUCUCGUCGAGGCGAACACGAUGGCGCGAGGGUUUGGCUUGCGAAGCUCUGGUGAGGGAGAUCGAGCGGUGGCACUAAUGGCCGGACAUGGCAAAAGAGAGAGAAAGAGAGCUCGAGUUGUAUGUAGAGAAGGGGGGAAAUGGCCGGCUAUUUAUAGGGGUGAAAGGCAGUUCGGAGGAGAAGGAUGAAUGGGUCACGGCGCCGAUGGAGUGGAGGAGAAGGAGACGGCGCCGGCUUCGUUUCCUUAGCGGCGACGGAAGGGAGUUUGCGGCGGCGUGCGCGUGCACGGCACGCGCGCUUGCGGGAGGAGGAGGGGCGGCUCAGCUAUGGGCCGACUUGGGCCGCGCGAGAGAGAAGAAGAAUUCGGCCCAAAGUUAAAAAGGAGGAAGUCUAAUUUUCCUAGAGAUUCAAAUAAUAGAUUUCGAGGAAUUUGGAUGGCUAGAUUUUGAAAAAGGAUUUGAAUAAUUUGAAUUUGAAGGAAAAUUGACUGAGAGAGAGUUUAGAAGGAAAUUAUAUUUGAAUAUAAUUUCCAAAAGAAAUAUUUCUCUAGUUGGUUUGAGUGCAAUGUUUUGGACAGGGAGUUUAUUUAAUGCACUCAAAUAGAAAUUCAAAAUAUUCAACACCAUAAAUAAUAUGGCUCUAGAUUUGAAUAUUUUUGAGUAUGUGGAGGGAAUAUGGUGGGAGUAGAGUAAAUAAAAUUUUAGCCCAAAAUAUGUGGUAUGAAAUUUAGAGAAUUAGAUAUGGGCUAAAUGAGGUUCUGGAUUUUGGACGGAGGGAUAAAGUCUAUUCUCUUAGCACAAGAGCAAUUAUUCAUAAUAUUUUUAAUAAUAUUAUUCGUGUGCCGAAGAGGAAAUCAAGCCACAGAGAUAAAAUUGGUGGUUAGAUCAAAAGGAGGAAUUUAGAUAGAAUCAAAGGAUGGGUUUAAGAUCAAAGGAUGGGCUAACAAUUAAUUCCAAUAAAAUUGGAAUUACUUUGGUUUAGGUUCUAGGACAAUAUGGGAAGGUUUCUUGGACCAUAAUUCAUAAUAGUAAAAAGGGUUUUUCACACUAAAUUUAAAUAAAGGAAGUUUUAGACGAAAGAAGGUUUUAGAUUAAAACCAAAUCAAGGAAUAUUUCAAGAUAAAUUUUAAAUGAAAAUCACAAGGGCUUUUGAAUAUCAAAGAGGAAUUUUAUGCAGGUUAGCUUUGGGAGGUCUCGCUAAUUAUAUUUUCCUAGGUUUAGGAAGUUAUUAAGAACAUAAGACCUGGCAUGAUGCAAGAUAAGAAAAUAGCUAAUUUUCGGUAUGUUACACCAUCCAUCUGCCAUGUGCGCGGAAAUCUCAGCUGGCAUGGUAUAGCACCGGUCCAGUUCACCGCACUGUGAGAGGCCUAAGUGGUCUCGUCUCUAUCCUUAUCCACGGAGACAGGUCUGGGAGGCCCGCACGGAUAGAUGCCACGACGAUGCAGGCAAUCGGAUGGCUCCAAAACGCGUCGCGAUAGAGCGAAACCGAGAGCGCUCUCGGUUUAGAUUUUGUGUAAUCAAAAACCUUUUUCACUAGAGGUCGGCGGGGGCAAGGUGAAGGUCGUCCGCAGCAGCAGCAAAGCGACGAGCGCGGUGGUGGCAGAACCAACAAGCGGGUGGCUGGAAGGUGUGUGUGUGAGAGAGAGAGAGGGAUCACGGAAGAGAAGAGGGGGGGGGGGAGAGGUGAGGAAGAGAAUAGGAUGAGGUGGGACGCUCUUGAUAAGUGGGGCUCUUGACGAGGGAUAAAACCGCCUCCAAAACUGUUCGGGGAGUCGAUUUGCAACGGUUUUAGGAGUUGGGGGGACAUGUUAUGCCCAGUUUUGUGGUUAAUGGAUGCGAUUCAACUAGGGGCAUGAGUUGAGGUAAGCAAAAUAGACUUAUUCCUUAUUCCUCUCAUCUCAUGAUUCAUGAAACAGAACGAAUUUGGGCCCAUCUACGGCCCAUACAUCCAACCUCUCCCUUCCUUCCUCUCCUAUAUCUAUAUCGAUCGAUCGAUCUCCACGGUGGCGGCUGGCUGGUCGGCGGACCCCAACGCGAGGGUGACGGCGGCGGCGGCGGAGGAGGAGGACGAGGAAGAGGAGGAGGAGAGGAGGUAGGAGGCUUUUGCUAUCUGCUAAUUCCUUCCUUCCUUUCUUCCAAUCUGAUUCAGUCCGAUCUAUUUCAAUUUUAUGGACUAGGGUUUGGGACUGAAUCCGCGCGUACCAUGGCGGAGCAGCAAGAGGACAGCUUUGAUCUUCCAUUGUUUGUGGAGGAGGAAGAUGAAGCAGGAGCGGCGGCGAAGCAGAGGCGGCGGGAGCAGAGCCAGAAGCCCCGGCGGCCUCGGGCGCCGUCGUUUCUGGACACGCCGGAGGUGAAGGAGAGGCGGGCGAGGAGCAGUGCUUUGGCGGCCAAGUAUUGGGAGCACGACCCCAAGACAGGAAUCAGCUACUACACCCGCGCCUGCUUCCGCGACCUCACCACCUUCGACCUCGACAAGGAGAGUAUGUAUACACCUCAACAAUAGUACCUAAUAACACAUUACUUCUAAGACUGUGGAUGAGGAUGAGCAUUCUAUAUUUAUUCAAAUUCUAGUCUAUAUUUAUUCAAAUUCUAGUCUAUAUUUAUUCAAAUUCUAGUAAAAGGUACUCCCUAUGUGGGCUACUGAUCUGUCGCCAUCAAAUUGUUCGCAGCUCUGAACCAUGUAAUUGCGAAAUCCAAUCAAACAUGCAGAGUGAAUGGCAGGCCAAUAAUUUUAAGUACAAAACAAUGCAACAACAAGCACAGAAACAGUGGCAUUCAUUAAGUGAUAAACAUUUUGUUCAACAAUCAAAGAUUAGACAAAUAUACCCUUAUCAUUCAAACCCUAUCAUGUCUCUGUUUGCUUGGGAGCUGUUGUUAGUGGCAUUAAGAUUAACUAGAUGGAAUCCUCACUAACUGGGGAAAUUUGAUUGUUCCACUCUUCACAGUGGUUCUUAAUCGUUUCCAGCUCCUUAUAUUUCAAUUGAUCACUUGCCACUCUGCCCACAAUGCAGUUGACUAUUUGCCACUUCUGGUCUGAAAUGGCCAUCUAUCCCCAUUCUUCCUCCCCUUCACCUCACCUCCCAUGCAGCAAUGGUGACAGUGAGCUUAAACUGCAAUGGUGACUGAGAAGAAGGAAUUUGAUUCGGUGGCACAAUUUCACCAUUUUCGGCUUCGGUAGUCAGUGGUAGUACCACCACCAGCAGCCAUGGACCAAUCCACCUGCUCAUUUCUAGGGGCCUUCUUUUCACAGUGAUUGCGAAUAAGCAGUGAAUUGUAUUUUUCCUUGAGGACCUUGCACUGGAGGGCCUAGACGCUGGUAGUGAGCUCUAGAUGCAGGUGCAGAGGCCUGAAAUGUUGAGUGCUCGAUCCAGGGUGGAGGAUGAGGAGGAACAUCACGGUGCUGUUGUCUGCCCACGCAUGCUACAGCUAGGGACACUAUGUCAGGGAUGAUGGGGAAUACUGGGAAGAGAUGUUGUAGUUUGCCACAGGUGGAUGAGAUGAGAUGCAAAUGAUCAAUUUUCUUGAUUGGAGGGCAGGUCAAAGUCAAACACAGUUAAGCUGUUAUAUGAUGAAUUAGAAAGCUCAUACUGUUUAGGCUUUGCUAAGAUAAGCAGGGAUUGGAAAGGAUUUAGUUCAGUUUCCUGACCAAUAUCAGAAUUUAACUUGCAUGCUGUAUGCUAUUGAACAUAUUCUCUCUCUCUCUCUCUCUCUCAGCCCAUAGAUCUCAUUGAGCAAAUGGACAGUUAUAUGGUUGGAAUUUGCUCAACAAUGGUUGAUUAAGAUUAGAAAUGGCCAAAUACUCUCUCAACUACAAUAAUUUGAUUUCUGAAACAGCUAAAAUAAUUUUCACUACGGUUGAUAUAUAUGCAGACGUAUGUCCUCUAGAGACUUUUGAACUCUAGAGUCUAGAGACAUUAUCUAGUGUAUACUUCUGUCGACAUACUAUUCUUCCCUGUUGCAAACUAACUCCAUUUUCGUUUUUCUCAGCGCAAUAUGGUCCAAUGCGCUUUACGGAUUCAAUUAUCAACAAGGACCACAUGUUGACUAGCUCGUUGAAUGUACUUUCUCUGAAGGUAAAAUCAUCAGAUGUUGGUUAUCCUAUCAAUCUAUAUGGGACUGUGAUAGUCAGAGAUGGAUUAGAUUUUAACUGCAUCUUCAUCUUCCGGCGCAAUAGGGACAAUUGCCAAGUUAUCCAGUCAGAGGUAUUGCUAAGUUCUCUUAAACACUACCAAUUUUCCCUAUUUCACAUGAUACAUUGAACUAAUUUCUUUACAGUUCUGUACAGUUAAAGGCAUACCAAAGCUAGCUACAUUUAAGUUGUCUAUAUGCAUCCACAGUACCCCUAGUUUCAUAUGAAAUACCAGUACUUAUUUUUAGUGGGCUUAAAUAUAACUAGGUAAUAUUAUGAGCCAUGUCAUUUAAAUAAUAACAUUAUAUUCUAUGGAUAAUGUCAUCACCUAUUUAUAUAUAUAGCAUUAGUGUGACUAGCUAACUUCUUGUGUAAUUUUUCUUGUAGAAUGAAAAUAUAAUUCUCACGGGCCCAACUAGAGGAAUUGUUUUCCAUGGUGAAAUCUUUUUUGAGAUAAAUUUGAAGAUUAAGGAAAAUGAAGAGUGCAAUGACAAAGAAUUUAGUAAAGGAUUGCUUGAGAUGAAGGUUUACACUCGUAAGUCUAUGAUUGUGAGUGAAACCUUGGAGAGUAGGCUCAGUGAGGUGGAGCUUGUAUCUGCUUCUGUUAAGGAAGCCUUGGAGGGCACUGUCGAGAUCAAUAUUCUGUCAGGGCCUGAAGUUUUUCAUGGAAAAAUUACUGCUUGCACAACAGAUGUUCCAAAUGAUAUUAUACUGUAUGAUAGUGAUGUUGAUGAUGCAACUACAGUGGGUGAUGACAGAGUUAUGCAACUGCUGCGACGUGUUGUAGUAGUAUCAGUAAAUGAGAUGUUGAUACUGAAUAUUGACGCCCAUAAUAUUCAUCCGAAUGAUAAUUUAUCCAGUCGCACUUUGAGGUUCACUCCAUUUACUAGAGGGUUGGAUGAGGAGGUGAUCAGCUGUGGUCUUUACAAGAUGCGGGUGAAAGUUGUUUGGUCAACCUUGAUGAUGGAUUAGAAUAUAUAGUUAAUUAAAUUCUCUACUGGGCAUCUUUUUACAGAUGAAUUAGAAUAUACUCUAUUGGGCCCUUGUUUUACAGAACUUGUAGCUAAUGCUAAACUUGGUGGUGUAAAUAAUCAACCUUUUAAACUAGAUAUUUUUAUCUUAAGAGAAGGAUUUUGGUAUGAAUUUGAAUGGAAGUUAUGAUUUAAAUUGGAUACUUGGACUUGGUAAAUUCGAAGGAACUUGUGGAAAGAUUUGAAGCUGAUAUCUUUUUUUUGAACAAAUUUGUAUUUUGAUCAAGAAAGAAUUUUGGAGUGAAAUAUGUAUGAUAUUUGGAUCUUUGAAUUCUUAAGGAUUGAUUAGCACCGAACUUUUCAUAGGUAAUUUUAGGAGGUUAUUUUCUUGAUUUUGAAUAUAAGAUUUUGGGAAGGAAUAUGGUACUAUUUGAAUAUCAUUUUGCACAGGUUUUGUUUGGGUAAUUUAUUCACUUUUAGCCAUACUAGUAAUGUGUCCUUGCAUUGUAAUGCCGCUCGCCCUUCCUCCUACACAUAUGAUAUGGCUGUGAACCUUUGCCUACAGGCGACGUGUGUGCCCGUUUCUAGUAGUGCAACAGCAAAACAAAGACAAGAUAAUCUGAAAAUUCACAGAAGAUGGGAGUCUUCCCAGUGGCCUCGGCAAUGUCGCAUAUGAGAUGUUCUUCAUCACACACACCAAAUGGAACUGUGCUACUCUGCUGUGGGAUACAAGAGCCCCCUCUAGAAUCAAAUUCUUCUUGUGGUUGGCAUUGAAAGAAAGAUUUUUCACGGUCGAUAACUUUCAGACCACAGGAUGGCCGCAUCAGAGCAACUGCUCCCUAUGUGCAUCAGAGGAUAAGGGGACUACCGGACUAGGAGUGUUUGGGAGGAUCUGCUACUGAUUUCCAGGAUGAGCAUAGUUGAUUUUUUUUUUCAUUCCAAUGUCUGAUAGUAUGUCCUUGGCUAAAACUUUCUUUAUGUUCGGUAAAUAUCAGACUCGUGCAUUCAGUUAUUACCGAGAUUACUUUGUCAUGGGAGUUUUCAAGUUGCAUCGACUCAUUGCAAUUGCAGCAAAACAAACUAGAGUUUGUUGUUAGCCUAUUACCAAUCGGUAGCAAUACAUUUUUACCUUUGUCAUAUGAUAGGUGAUAACCUAUUUUCUUUAAAGAAAUAUUGCAUGGAAGGCACUCAGACAGAUUAUUUUGUUGGGAAAAAAAUCGCAUUAGCUGCAGCCUAUUACUAAUGUAUUAUUGAUUGUUUUUGUGUUGCUCUGAGAAAAAAACCAAUUCCAUAUCCAUAAGGGACGAUGCUCUUGGUAUUGGAGCUUUUCUUGCAAUCAGCAGACAUAUGGAAGUUACAAAUAAACCAAAGUUAAAUUCAUAAUUUUGUUGAGCAAAUGUCCAAGAAAGAAAAUCACUUUAGGUUUCUAUAUUAUUACAAGAAAUUUCUAAAUUUUGAGGCACUGUGAAUAAUAUCAAGUUUUUAGUUAUGUGUACGUUGUAUUUGUCACCGUAGGAAUAUUUGAGGGGCAAUAUAUUUGUCAAGCUUAAAUAUUGAAUUUCAAUCCAUGUGCACUGGCUUCAAGGUAAACAUGAUUUAAGUUAUACAAUACAACUCUGUUAAUUAGUGUGAAAUCACAUCACUCAUGUUCUUUUGGGAUUAUUGGGAUCAAUUGUUUCCAGUGUGCAAGGCCUGCAAGCUAUGGUGCUUUAGGGUGCUGAGAUAUUGCACACCCCAUGAUAAUUUUCCUUCUUUCACACCCCAUGUUAUUAUGCCUGGACUUGCAUGAACACUGGAAGGCUGUCGUGUAAGGCCAUGUUGGUGCUCUGGAUUUUUACAAUUUAGUCUUUUUGAAAAACUUAUCCUAAAAUGAUCCUUUUUGGGCGCCAGAGUCGCUGGCGCCGUCGUCCAACGGAAUGGUGGUGCUGAGGUGGCAGGGGGAGCGCGCCAAUGUGGCUAGCGCCCCCCACAUUUUUUCCUCUCCUCUCUAGUGUAGAGGAGAGAGAGAGGUGCAACUUUUUGUUUUUUUUUACUUUUUUAUAUUUUUUCACACUUAUGAGCAUAAAAGAACCAACCAUAGAAAAAAAACUCAAAUGGACGAAACACAAUCUUGCACGCGGAAUUUAGAGAUUCUAAUUUUGUCGAACCCAGUAAAGCCAAGGAGAAUUGAAUGUAACUUUUUUCGUAGAUGUCCGUAGAUAUAUUAUUUGUCUGAUUCCGAGUCCGUAUGAGAAAGUUACGCCUGUUUUAAGAAAUGACACCCGCAUGUAAAAAAACAUAAACCCUAACUUUUUUUAUAGGAUGUAAAAGAUAUUAAAAAAAAGCUAAGAGUGUUCGAAAUCUAAUCUACUUUCUUUUGGGGGGACUAUAGGAAAAACCAAAACCAAAACAGGGAGAGAACGCCAUUUGAGUUUAGUUUUUCUACGGUUGGUUCUUAUGUGCUCCUAAGUGUAAAAAGAAUAUAAAAAAUAAAAAAAUAAGUUCCACAUUUCUCUCUCCUCUAUACUAGAGAGGAGAGGGAAAAAUAGGGGGGGGGGGGCACUCGCCAGCCACAUUGGCGCACUCCCCCGGCCACGGUGGCAGGAGGACGGCGCCAGCGACUCUGGCGUCCUUAAAAAGGACUAUUUCUGAGAUAAGUUUUUUCAGGGGUCUAUUUACGAAAUAAGUUUUUCAAAAAGGGCCAAAUUGUAAAAAAUCCAGUGUUGGUGCUAGCUCGGUCUUUCCAUAUGUUUUUAUUUUUGACAAAUACAUUUGAUAAUAAGAUGUUUGAAAUGAUCUACUCGGAAGGGCCAAUGGACUGGUGGAAGAAGAGAAGCAUCCUUUUCAAUUUGCCAUAUUGUGAGCAUUUUUAUUUUCAUCACAACCUUAACAUUAUAUCUAUUAUCUUGCAAAACAACAUUUUGUGUUGCACUUUCAGGUUGGUCAGAACAUGACACUAGUGGAGAAAUCAUCUUUACUCCCGGUUUAUAACCCCUCUAUAGUCCCAGUUUUCUAACCGAGAUUACGAAUCCGGUACUAAAGAUCGCUAUCUUUAGUCCCGGGUGAAAUAACCGGGAGUAAAGAUCGAUCUUUAGUCCCGGUUGGUGUUACCAACCCUCUCUUUAGUCCCGGUUACUGCUACCAACCGGGACUAAAGAGAGGAUAGGGGCAGUCCCGGUUAGUCCAUUUUCUUUUUAUUUUCUCCCAAAUCAAGUGGGAUGUAUAUACCCAGAUCAAACAACAAAUCUCUAAAUCGAGUGUCAUGCAUAUACCUAAAUCAAACCCCAAAUCCCCAAAUCAAAGUAACAUCACAAAUCAUUCACAUCACAAAUGCAAAUCCUAAGUUACUUACACACAAAUCAAAUACAUCACAAAUCUUAAAAAAAUUACACACAAAUCAAAUGUAUCACAGAUCAAUUAUACAUCUUAGAUCCAUGCAAUGAAUCACAAAUUCUAAAAAAGAAAUUAUACAUCUCUCAAUCACAAAUUAUAAAAAAAAUAGAGGAGAACCGGCGCGCUGCUGCCCCGUGCGCAGCCCCGCCACCCGCCGCGCGCUGUGCCUCGCCGUCCGGCCAUCGCGUGAGGGCGCGCUAGGCCGCCUCCGCCGCCGCCCGGCCGCCGCGUGAGGGCGCCUCCGCGCCGCCCGGCCGCCGCCGCCUAAGAAGUGGGGAGGAGAGGGGAGGGGGCAGAUCCAAAGGAGGUUGAGAAGUGGGGAGGAGAGGGAAGGGGGCAGAUCCAGAGGAGGUAGAGGAAGAGAUGGGAGGAGGAAGAGGAAGAGAUGGGGUGAGUGAGGAGAGGAGGAGAUAAAGAUCAGAACUUAUUAACUGAUCCACCCGUGCGCCUCAGUUCUCUCGAUCUCGCGUGGCGCAUGUCGAUCUUUUUUCCCGGUUGAUAACACCAACCGGGACUAAAAAUAGAUCUUUAGUCCCGGUUGGUGUCACCAACCGGGAAUAAAGAUAAAAGAGGGGUCUGACACCACCUGCCGUCUUUUGAACCGGGACUAAAAAUGAUCUUUAGUCUCAGUUGAUGUUACCAACCGGGACUAAAGAAUAUCUUUAGUCCCGGUUUUUAGUGGAACUGGGACUAUUGUGGAUUUCGGCCGACCGACCAAAGAUGGUUUCUCCACCAGUGUGACAAAUCAUUUCGCAUAUAGCUAUUUUCUCUCAUCAUCAACCUUCAAGUGAAGAAUAGAUGAAUUAAAUGGCAGUUGUUAUAUUUUAUGCUAAAUAGCAGUGACACAUGAUACAAGAUCCUAAGUUAAUUUAUUUAUUGAACCUACCAGGUGUUACAACAAUAUAUAUUGACGUAUUUUCAUUAAGAACAAAGCAAAUAUAUUAUUCAUCUAUUGUAAAUAUAUUGUUGUCAUUCUACUCAGGGAAUUUAAUUCCGAUAAAAAAAAUGAGGCUUUGUUUCUUCUCCAUUGCAAUGAUUUAUUUCUUGCCAACAUGGAUUCCAUGUGCACUAUUGUACCCCGAUUACAUGCUCUGAAGUGUGGUAUUUAUUUUUAUUUUCAACUUGAAUGGAAAUUAUAACAAAGCUUGAUUCCUAUCUAAAAUGAAAAUGUACUGCCUUAUUUGUGUAUUGAAUCCCGUAAAACCAAUAUUUUGCGGACACAUCUCAGUGGUUGUGUAAACUUUAUAGAGCGAUUUUACAGUACAUGAGGUUGAGGAGGUAUUAGGAGGUGUCAUAUAUUUUCUAAUAUAAAAUUUGAUACCUCUUACUACCUCCAGUACUACUGAGAGGUACCAAAUUUACACUAAAAAUUUGGGUACCUCUCAAGGGCUCUAAAAUUUCUCAACUUUAUAACUAUAUCUCGUACUGUGCUAAUUGCCAAAAUAUAUUUUGGACCACUGUCUUUUGGGUGUUUUGCUUGUAAUACCGGUUAUGGAUAAGGCAUACCCUCUAUCCUACGACUUAUGGAAUACACCGAUAAGGUAUACCUUCACGUAUACGGUUGGUUUCCGUAUACGUCGUUAGGAAUUCGCCUCAAAUUAUGGAAAAUAUCUCCACGAAGUUAAGGAAUUGCAGAAGUCCUACUCGGAAAGGGUAAAAUCUCCAGUAUAUCGUGUCGGUUUACAUAUCUUCAAGUCUUACUUGAGGGUCAAGGUAUCCCACGAUAUAAAAGGGACCCCUAGGGAGAGUCAAAGGGCAUCGCAUCUCAUCGCCAACACUCCCACCAAAGUUUAUGAAGCCGGAGUCCCCGGAGCCAACUCGCUGGGAGAUCUCGUCGAAUUCCUCGACUACGGUCUCAUCGGCAUCGCCAAUUCGGUUACUCUCUUUGUAAUCUGUUCUCAUCAUCAUUGAUCCCAUAUAAACUGGACUAGGGCUAUUACCUGAUAAGGGGCCUGAACCAGUAUAAUCCUUGUCUUUUGUCUGUUUUGAUGUCGUACUACGUAGAUCCCUGUUCCAACGUACCCCAAUACCCUAUUCUUCCGGUCCGCGAGUAUCACUCGUGACAGUGGAGCGCUAGGUAGGGGGACUUGGUGCUCAAGGAUCCACCAGUAUGACUUCAAGACUCCCCGACAAUAGCCUCGUUACCAGCGCCAAUCAAGGAGUUUCUACCUCGACACCGCUGGUGUGGACUCAAGUCGGAUCUAUUGUCGUUCCGAUCUACAUCGUUACACCAAUCUCGACUGGCCCAAUCGUCAUCGGGAACGAGAAAGGUACGGCUACGACUGAGAGAAACAAUGCCCCGCCGACAAUUCCUCCCACUCCGGUGGAGAAUGGAACAUCGACAGCCCCAACACCUGGGAGGAACCCUCAAGCGGCUGAGUUUCACCCCUCGUGUGAAAAAUCGAAGCCGACAAGGACAACCACCCUGAAACCGAGAACUUGGUGUCCCAUACAUAAGACAACCAAGCAUGCUCUCGAGGACUGCCCGGUGAUACUCCACGUGCAAGCUGAACUCUACGCCUGUUGGGAACGGGGGAUACAACGCACUUCACCAACGAGUACCACCUACUGUCCGAUCCACAGAUCUAGAGUGCAUGAUCUCACCAACUGCAGGGUCUUCCUCAGGACCCUCAAACCAGCGCAUCAUCGCGUCCAGCGGCCACGAAUUCAAACUCCGUGUGUUGCCAAGGAACCAGAUGCGGCUCCGGUCCUGGAUCGGUUUGUUGGAUUUGUCGACGCAAACAAGCCAUCCGUGUUACACCUCUUAGAAGGCUACGAGUCCUCCUCGCAGUCGCCUAGAGAUGUAAACGUGGUUGACAACACUGAGACGAGCUCGUCCGCCGCUGCGAGAACACCAGCUCAUCAGUUGCGGAACCUGGACGCGAUAUUGAGGGAAGGCCCUUUUGAUCCGGUAACAAACCUAGACACCAGCAGAUGGGCAGAGUGGCUACGUGAGACCGUGACCAACCUCAACACCGCGUUUGCUGAAGCCGCAGGUGGCCCAGAGCCGAACAGAGAUAGAGAGCGACUUACCGGAGAUGCAGAGGAUGAAAACCCCGACGGAAGGCCUACCGGCAACCGCUCCCCUCCAAGACGUGACCCUACACCACCGCACUGUGAAGAUGGCGACCUUCGCGAACAUCUAAACGGACGUCGGCGUAACAGGAGGGAACGCAACGAGAACGAGCGCCGCCAACAUCGUUCUCCUCAUCGUGAGGAUGGCAAUCCGCACCGACAGCAUCGUCCUCACUCCCCAUCUUAACGAGAGCGGGACGAUGGCCGAAGGAACAUCUCCAACAGGAAUCGUGAUCGUCGAACUCGUGACGACCGACGCGAUGACAACGACCGGGAUCGGGACAACUGUCCCCGGAGACAAGAAAGGAAUAACGACGAAUGACGAGAUCGAAACUCCAAAUCUCCUCAUCCGAGUCGAGAUCGUGGACGUGAUCAUCGUUCGAGAAGUCGGGCUCCUGAUCCAAGCGAUCCCUCAUCUUCGUCUUCAUCGUCCUCUUCGGAUCGACCUCCACAAAGGCAUCGCGAUCGUGGGCCAUGCCCUGUCCCAGGCAAUGGAUGCAGGGCAUUCACACCCGCACUUCACAACGUGCGGUGGCCCGAGAAGUUCUGACCGGGAUCGAUCGGGAAAUAUGAUGGAAGUACAGACCCAGAAGAAUUUCUGCAAGUCUACUCCACAGUUUUCUAUGCCGCUGGCGCAGACGACAACGUCCUGGCAAAUUAUUUGCCGGCCGCGCUGAAAGGCUCUGCCCGGUCAUGGUUUGUCACGCCCAGAAAUUAAGCCCUAAAUUUUUAGACUAUUUUGUGUAUUAAAUCCCUAUCCAGGACUAGCCAGGGUACACAAAACGACAAGUAAUAUACAGUUCCAAACGUAAAUAAAGCAUAAAAUACUUACAGAAUAGGCUCUUAGUCCUCACACUGAAAAGAAAGCAGCAGCAGCGGAAAAGGCGAUCCUAGAGGGGCUUCAGCUCCACUCCACAGGCAAAACUCAACUGGUGUCUGAGCCUUGAUCCUCUAACUUUGUCUUCAGCUCAGAAGCACUACACUUCUGAAAAGGGAGAACAAUAGCAAGGCUGAGUACAACCACCAUACUCAGCAAGCCACACCAACGAUGCAGAUGUGCAAGGGGAUUCAAGAAUGGCUUGUGGCUAUUUGCAGAAAGGUUGUUGUAAAACAUUUUAUUGAGCAAAACGGUAGAACUGUUGAGUAAUUAAGGUAAUAUUAAAUCUCCACUGAUCAACGCUACACUACGUUGAGCAGGCCCAACCAAUCCACCUGAACUACAGUGCAUUGGGCCGAUUUAUUAAGUGUGAGACUAAUCACGGUGAAUCCGGUCGAUCGCCCAUAACUGCGGCCAUGGCUAUUCGAAUAGUUUUACUCUAGCCAUAGGUGCACAACUGUACCCACAAGACACAAUCCACCGGCAUGUCACCGUGCCUGUGCAGGCACGUCACCAUGUCGAGUGAUUAUGACCAGACUCUCCGCAUAACUCUCCCCUAACCAUCCACACCACGCUAAGCUUUCACCCCCACCCCCUACCCCGGAGGUGGGCAGUCCCCUCGUGCGCCGCGGUGAGUCCGGCAGCUGGACAACCGGACACCCCGACCGACCCAACUCCAUCAUGCCCACCCUCACCACCGGUGCCUAGGAAAGGGUCGAGCUAUACUUCAAAUCAAGCAGUUACCCACUCCCGCUUGUGGUAAGCACUAUAAGUCUUGCAGGGUUUCUCGUGAACCGGUCCUUAAUUGCCAUGGGUGCGACCCGCAAAACCAUGCACCCAUAGCCCACCAUUCAGUCGCAUUUUAGUUGGAUAAUUAUGACCACGAAACAUGGCCAGAUGUCUCGAGCACGCAGCUCAUCAAGAUACUAGAAGGUCUAAUACUGCAAUUAUCCCAUCAACUGAGCUAGCGUUAAUUAAGCAUGGCUAAGCAAAUAAUUCUAGCUAGGUCACAUAAGUAACACGAGCUAGUCGAUUUAUCACCCAAGGUUGACAAAGGACAGAUAUCAAGUAAAUAUGGCACAAGCGAGCAGAUAGGUAAUACCCGGAUCGCAUGUAAUUAGCAAAACAUGCAUAUUUAUUUGCAAACGGUAAAACAUUUGUAAAAUAGGCUCAAUAUGCUCAAGGGGAAUGUGUGACGCCUUGCUUCUUCAAACAAUCUUCCGAACUCUUUUCCUUGCGACCGCGAUCUUCCAAAAUGGCGGAAACUACACACUGGCACGCAAAAUGAGGAAAAACUCUAAUAAAACCAAAGAAACAGUACAUAAAAAUUAAAUAAAUAUGUAGAUCUCAAUUUUAGAUGAAUUUUGCAAGUUGAAUGGCCCAAUUUGGAGUUCGAAUGAGUUAGAUAUGAAUUUUAUAAGUUUUGAGCCAUUAAAUGAAUUUCUAGAAUUAUUAAUGAUUUAUUGCGCAAUUAUUAAUUGUUUUCUCAAGGGAUAAGAUCAUCGCUGAUGUCAUCAAAGGGGGGAGGCUGGCGCCGACACGCGGGCCCCACACGUCAGCGGCUCCAAAGGGAGGACACACGGUGGACUCGGUCCACCGCGGCCUGGGCGGCACCGUGGACCCGGACCACGGGAGUGGUCCACGGGCGGCGACACAGAGCGGCCAGGGGCGGCGGCGGCUCACGACCGGAUGUGGCCUCUGGCGACAACACCGGCGACAUGACGCGACGCGGUGGCGGGCAUGGGAGGCUGCCGCCGAAGGAGAGAAAGGGGAGAUGGAGGGGACUGCUCACCAUGCGUCGGGGCGGCGGGGGCAACGGGCGGCGGCGGCGCUCCCUCGGGAAAGGUGGUAGCGGAGGUCCGACGGCGACCCAUGAGCACGAAGCGGCGGACGGCGGCCGGGAUUCCCUGGGGAAGAAGAUAGAAGGGUUAGGGAGGAACAUAGGUGAUCGGAGCGGUGAGAAUACCACGCCGGAUAGGAGAGGAAUGGUGGAGCUCACCGGCGACCGAGAGAUGCCGAGCUUCGGUGUGAUUUCGGUGGCUUGGAACGGCAGCCGAGGUGCGGUGGGGCGUGGCAGCGCUGUGGGUGGCGGCGGCAUGGCCGGGCAAGGCGACGCUCGCCGGCGGGAGGCGGCAGUGGCUCGGGUUGGUGGUGGCGACGGGGUUUUGGCGGUGGUUUGGGGAGGGGAAGUGGUGGCCGGGCUUUGGCUCGGCGCAGAGGAGCCAGUGGUGGCAGUGGCGCGGUGCGGCGGUGGCUAUGGCGGCGGUAGCGCGCGGCUAGAGUUCGCCGGAAAGUAGCAGAAGUGGGGGACGGUGUGGGAAGAGCGAGGGAGGCGAUGGGAAGCUCGGGGGUGGAGAGGAAACGGUAGAGGAGAGCCGGACGAUGCUUUAUAUGGGCGUGGGGGAGGGAAAUUGUGGCCGAGAGGGCGGAAUCGGGUGGCAACGGCCGGCGACAUGGGCGACAUCAUGGGCGAAGUGGAGCUCGAACCCGACACGAUUUUUGGGGGAAAUGUGGGGAGAGUGCAGAGGAGGUGGAGGGGAACCAAUUUCAUGCAGUUUGGGCGCGAGGACGCGAGCGGGAGUACAAAGGCGCGUCAUGGCGGCUUUGGUUCUGGACGCCGAAGAUAGAAGGAGGAGCUGACAGGUGGGGUCGCCAGGCCCACCUGUCGGCGAGGGAGGGAGGAGGUGAUGGUUGAGGGAGGCGAAGUGAACUUUGCAAGGGGACGGGCCUUGGGGGCCAAGAAGGGAGGAGAGAGGAGGGAGGCCGGCCUGAGGGGGAGGAAACUUGGGCCGGAAACGGCCCAAAGCAAAGAAUGAGGAUUUUAAUUCGUUUUCUUUUUUAUUUAAUUGGUUUAAUGAACUUUGUAUUAUUAUAAUUACUUCUUGAGCUCCGAAAAUUCACGGGAAAAUUUCAGAGAAUAUUUUAGGGCGCAAAGAAUAUUACAAAAUAUUCCCGGCCAUGAUUUUUAAAGGAAAUUUUUAAUUCCCUCAAUAAUUUCACUUGAUUAAAUUGCUUUAACUUUUAUUUAAUUUCUAGAAAAGCAUUAUUAAAUGAUUUUUAAUCCCGAACGAAAAUCAGGGCAUUACAUGGUUCGUCCAUCUCCCGCCAAACUCAAUCUGUUCAUGGGAAGAUUUAUGGCAGCAAUUCGUCGCCAACUUCCAAGGGACUUACAAGCGCCACGCGAUCGAGGACGACCUACAUGCACUAACCCAGAACCCAGGCGAAUCAUUGCGGGACUAUAUUCUGCGCUUCAAUGAGUGCAGAAAUACGAUCCUCGAGAUCACCGACGCUUCUGUCAUUCGAGCAUUCAAGUCUGGCGUCCGAGAUCGGUACACCACCCAAGAGUUGGCAACGCGCCGGAUCACAUCCACGCAGACGACACUCUGAGACGCAAGGAGGGAAAGAGCAAAGCGGGAGACGAGAAGAAGAAGUCGACUGAUAAAGACGCACCAGAGUCAAGCAAGAAGAGAAGUCGCAAAAGCGGGAAGCGCAAGUCUUCUGGAGAGGUCCUUGCCGCAGAGCAAGUAGAACCGUCCAGGCGCUCCAACCCUCAGGGCGACGACUCUCGCAAGCCAUGGUGCCCAAUCCACAUGACAAGCAAUCACGCCUUGGAAGAUUGCUACGUCAUCAAAAAGGAGCUCACGAAACAACUAGCAAUCGAAAGAGGAAAGCGAGUACGGAGACUGCAAAAGAAGCCACCACCGACAACUCUAACUCCGCCUUCCCGGAGUAUGAUUUGCAUGUUUCCCACAUCUUCGGUGGAUCCACUUUGUACACCUCUAAGAGGGAGUACAAGAAAGCGGAACGCGAAGUUUGCUCCACUUCACAGGCGACUACCACCAAGAUGAAGUGGUCGCAGCACAAGAUCGAGUUCUCGGAAGCCGACCACCCCAAGACCGUGACUUGUCACGCCCGGAAUUUCUAUCCAAAAUUCCAAACGCUUACAUGUGCGUUAAAUCCUCGUCCAGGAAUCAGCCGAGGCACACAAUAACAAAUUGAUAAUAGAGUACUAUCAAACAACUAAUUAAUAUUCGCAAAAUGAAUAAUUAUUACAGAGGUGGAUAGUUCCUCUCAGAAGAAUAAAAUUCUACGCAGCGGAAAUAAAAACAAAAGACUAAACAGCUAUGGCGACUCCACUCCACAAGCAACUUGACCCGAACAAAGCCUAAUCCUCCUGAUCAUCACCUUCACGGAAGUACUCCUCCUCUGAUGAAUGAAUAUUGCAAGAAUGAGCAUAUGACAUACUCAACAAGCCACACAGCAAAUAUGCAAGUGCACAGGAUAACAAAGGAUGGCAUAAUAAAGCUUAUUUGCAUAAACAACAUUUAAUAAACAUUUGAGAAAAUAGUAAAAUAGUUAAGCAAUUAAGCAAUAUUAAAUAAACACUAUACAACACACCCGUGUUGCGUAGGCCCAACCACAACUGAACAACCAACCCCGGUUGUACAAAUCAAACCUCCAUACCAGGAAUAUACCAUUCCAAACCAGGAGUCAAUUUAAUUAUCACAAUAUUAUCAUUAAUAAUGAGUAAUGUGAGACUAAUCACGAAAAACAUUGUUAAACCCAGCCAUAACCGCGGGCACGACUAUUCGAAUAGUUUUACUCUGGCCAGAGAUGUACCACUGUACCCACAAGACACAGUUCCACAACACGUCACCAUGCGCCUCAGUACCACCACAAUACCUUGCAAAGGAACUGUGACAAUACCUCUCAAACAACACAACUCACCACAGUGCACCAUUCCUGGAUCAUAAUCUCCCCCUCAAAACCAGAGGCAUGGACUCCCCAGCGACCCCCACGGACUUCUCGCCGCUUCACAGUCUGGCACCCCGUAAUGAAUCAUGCUAUACAAAAGAUAAAGCCGUUGCCCACGCUGGCUUGUGGUUGGCACAGUAAAUGUUUCACAACAGUAGCUCGUGAACCGGUCCUUAAUUGUCAUGAGCAUGACCAUCACAACCAUGUGCUCACAACCCACCUUUAAUCAGGUUUUAUUUAUCAAUUAAUUAUCAUAACACGAUUAACCAUCGUGAGCUACCAUUAAUUAUAACCAUAAGUAAUAAUGUAAUAUGAUUCAUCCCAUUAAUGAGCUAAUGUUUCUAAGCAUGGCUAAGCAAUUAUGCCUAUAUAGCACUUAGCUGAACUAAACCAAUAUAUAAGGUCCAAGCUAAAUCAAUUUAUUACCCAUAGGAAAAUAAAGUCAUCUUCGGCCAUUAAUUAAUCGGGAAAGGCUCACCACUCGAUGACACUCGAAAAUAAUGCAUAAGUUGAAAUAAAACAUUAGCUUUAAACGGGUUCAACAUGCUCAAAGAGUUGUUUGGGAUCUGUGUGACUUGCCUUGAGCUUCUUCAAACCCUUCUGAACCUUCCUCAACGUAAACGCUCUCCUCUGGAACGUCGGAAACUAAAACAAAUGAACAAAAUCAACAAAACAGUACAAAAACAAGCAUAAACAGUACAUGUGGAUAUUUUUAACAUGUAGAUCUUGAUUCUAGAUGAAUUUAGCAACUUGAACCACUCGAAUCCGAGUUACGAUGAUUUAGUUAUGAAUUUUCUAAGUUUAAUUGAUUUUCAUCUAAUACAGAAAAUUAUCACGAAUUAAAUAAAUGAUUUAUGAUGUCACGAUGACAUCAUCACAGGCCAUGGCACGGGACGACGCGACCACCGGUGAUAGAGGGCUCGGCCGGGCUAUCCGAGAACACCUACGCGAAGAGGACGACGACGCGAACUCACCGGUGCAAGAAACUACGACGGACGACGACGUACGGCGGCCGGCGAUGAGCUCCGACGACGGCACGGCUUGGCUCGACGUCGACGGCAGCGCUCCGGCGGUCUCCAGUGGCUGCAAAGGGGCGGCCGAGGUGCUCCUCCUCCGCGCGAACCCAACGGCGGCAAUGGAAGGCGGCGGCGACAGCUACAGCAGCGGCGCGGCGCGGCUGGAAGGGCGUCGGCGACGGCGGCGACUAGGGCUACACGGCGGCGGCGCUACGGGCAACGGUAGAGUUCGGGACUUGAGGGGAAACGUAGAGGACAACUAGGGGAUGCUUUAUAUAGGCUUGGAUUAGAGAGAUCGGACUAUCCUAGGGUUAGUUUGGAGAGAUAAACUCGAAAACGAAUUUGAUUCUGAUGAAAUACAAAGCAAUUAGCUCCGAUUCUUGGGGGAAAUGAUGGAGGACAACAAAGGGAUAAAAACACCUCAACCAAUCGGACUUGGAGAUGGCCGGAGGCAGCGGAUUUGGAGGGGAGGCGGCGGCGCUCGGGCUCGGCUUGGCCAGCCGGAGGUGGAAGAUGACCCCGACAUGUGGGCCCCACAUGUCGGCGGAUUGAGAGGAGAGGGGCGGCGGCUCGGCUUGGGCCGGCGUGGGCCGCGCGUGGCUGGGAGGAGAGUUGGGCCGGAAACGGCCCAACGGCCUAGGGGAGGGUUUUAAAGACUUUUUCAAUUAAAAUAAUUCGUGAAAUGAUGUUUCAUUUAUUAAAAAUACUUUCCUUGCUCAAAUAAUUCCUAGAAAAAUCUAGAAAAUAGAUAAACAAGCAAAGUAUUUAAUGAAAUUUUAUCUAGCUCAAUUUUAUGUUGAAAUUUUUCCUAGAUUAUUAGAGUUUAACUUGUAGGCUUUUAAAAUAAUUUCUAAAAAUGCAUUAAAGAAUGAAUUAUUAAAUUAGGCGAUUUUCAGGGCGUGACACAACUACACCUGGCAGAUAUCCGAUUGUGUUGGAGCCCACUAUUCGGAACAUUAAGGUGGCAAGAGUUCUCAUCGACGGCGGGAGCUCGAUCAGUCUACUCUUCGCCAGCACUUUAGAUGCGAUGGGAAUACCUCGAAGCAACCUGACGCCCACAGAUCAACCCUUACACGGAAUUACCCUGGAAUCAUCGUCUAAACCGUUGGGAAAGAUCACGCUGCAUGUUACCUUCGGACACGCCGAGAACUUCUGAAUAGAGCAGAUCACCUUUGAUGUCGCGGAAUUCGACACCGCGUACAAUGCCAUCAUUGGGAGAACAGCACUCGCGAUGUUUAUGGCAGCCUCGGAUUAUGCAUACUAAGUGCUCAAAAUGCCAGGACCGAAAGGGACUGCCAGGACCGAAAGGGACAAUCAAUAUCCUGGGGAACGCCAAGUUGGUGGUGCAGUGCGACAAGCGGAGCCUCGACAUAGUCGAGCAUACUCCCAACCCACCCGCCACAACCGAGAACCCCAAGAAAGUGAGCAAAAUCAAGAAGACACCAAAACCAGAUGGCACCAUCAAGAUCAUCACGUUGUCCAGCGCCAACCCCGACAAAACCGUCAAGAUCGGGGCAUCACUGGAUGACAAAUAGGAACUCGCGCUCAUCACCUUCCUCCGAGACAAUGCGGACAUGUUCGCUUGGCAACCGUCAGACAUGCCGGGAGUACCCAGGGAGGUGAUUGAGCACAAACUAAUGGUGUGACCCAACGCCAAGCCAGUUAAGCAGAAACUGCGGUGAUUCGCACCCGAUCGAAAACAAGCCAUAUGAGAAGAGCUGGACAAACUUCUCAAAGCUGGCUUCAUAAGAGAAGUCAUCCAUCCAGAGUGGCUCGCAAAUCCAGUAAUGGUACGCAAAGCCAACAGGAAGUGGAGGUUGUGCGUCGACUUCACCGACCUCAACAAGGCGUGCCCCAAGGACCACUUCCCUCUUCCUCAAAUAGACCAAUUAGCGGACUCAAUGUCACGACCGGAAAUAACCCAACGGGCGUUCCUUACGUGCGUGCAUUAUUCCUUGUCCCAGGAGGCAAGGUACACCAAAAGUUGAUACAGUUCAGAGUUUAACAAGCGGAAGCGUAAAUAGAUAAUUUAUUACAUGGGCGGCGAAGGCCUAGCACACAUAAAGACAAACGGGAAACAGCGGAAGACUAGGGCGACGACCACAGACGCUUGACGGCAGGCACGAGCUAGACACCAAAGCCUUCAUCUUCCAGGGGCUCCUCUUCUGGGUUUGGGAAAAAUUGAGCAAGACUGAGUACAACCACCGUACUCAACAAGACACACCCACAAGUGCAGAAUAAAUGCGAGGGAGUACAAGGGAGUUAUAAUAUAAAGGGUUAGGGUUUGCAGUAAACAGCAUUAAAAGACACUUAGUUGCUCAAAGCUAUUUUGUAAACACGAUUCUAGAACUAUACAGUAUUAUUUAUCAAGGCCGUGAACCCACACGAACCUGCCUUACCCCAAGGCCUACGAUGAUUCAGACCGAACUGGCAACCCGACCCUGGGUCCCAGCUCGUCCCAAGCCAACCCAGGCCAACCAUUCCACAUUUUAGUUGUUAAGCAGGUUUUAAGGAUUAAAACACUAACUUGGGUACAUUGCUCAGCUUGCCCAUAACCGAGGGCGCGGCUAUUCGAAUAGAUUAUACUCUGAUCAGAGGUGUACAUCUUUACCCACAAGACACAUCUUCCUCACGUGUAACCACGUGCCACAUACCACCACGGUAUACGGACGGAAGACGUGACAUAGUUUCCAACCCAUCCUAGCCAUAGACAAGAGUACCGACCCAAUCCCACCUACGGCCGGAACCCCCGAGACAGGUAGGCAGGACUGAGCCCCUAGCAGCAGGACACCGGCCCUGUGCCAUGACAUCUCGACUACCAGGCCGCAGCUCGUGUAGCCUUCAUUUGCCCUGGAGAUGUCCAUCGACCCCCGACUUCGUCCAUCUCCAUCCGUGUACUUUUGUUUAUAACCAGACUGAGCCACAAACUAAGCCUUACCCACUAGACAUGUGGAAGUACGGUAGUGCUUUGCAACAGAGGCCCGAAGACCGGUCCUUAUAUGGCUGAGGUGCUACUAUCAAAACCAUGCACCCCGAGCCCAGCCUAAAACCAUUUUUGGGGAUUUUGAAUAGAGGGGGCGGUGUGAAUCCAAUUCCACAAUAAUUCAUCAAUUCCAUAGUGUCCGGGUGAUGAGAACAUUCCCAAAGUCUAGAGUUGUAAAAUCACCUAAUGUUACCUAAUUAAACAGCGAAGCAUCUACCUAAAAUCAUACUAGUGGUACCAUGAGUAGAGUGUCCACUAGUUGGGGUUUUGUUUAGUCUAGGGUGAACAAGGUAAUAAUAACAAUAACAAUAAUAAUAAGGUCAUAACAAAGGUAAAUAGGCAUGGCUAGAUAAAACGGUGAUAACGCGGGAAUUUAAAUAAAGAGAUAAUGCAAUAAUUUAAAGCAACAUAAUUUUAUAAACUGGGAUUCAAUAUGUUCAAGGAUGAUGUGACUUGCCUUGCUCGCUUUCCCAAACGCCGGCUUCAACUUCCACGAAGAGUGGAUCUUCCGAAGCUGCAGCGUCUAGACGACCAACGGAAAAGAAAAGGCUUUUACUCUAAUAAACUCCAUAUAACCAGCAGGAACAAAGCACAAAAAUGGGUUCUUGACUUCUUAAGGAAAAAUUAGAGACUUGAACGGUCCAAUUCCGAGUUCAAAUGGCCAAGUUAUGGCCAUUUGAAGUUUAUAUGCUCUUUAAAUGAAUAUUUGCGAAUUUCUUCAUUUAAAUUUUAAUUUAAAAAUGGAUUUAUUGCGUCAGCCGAGGGGAGGGGCGCGCGGACCGGGUCCACGGGGGUGGGGCCCACGCGGCAGCCCCACGGUCCACGGUGGACCGGGCGCACCCGGGCUCACACCGGCCGGCGCCGUGGGUCCCACGCGUCAGCCGCACCUAAGGGCGCGGGCGGCUGACAGCCGGGCCCCACGCGGCAGCCGCUCGGUGCGCCCGAAGGCGACCACGCCGGCGCUGCGGCGGGAGGCGGCGCGCCCGCGCCCCUAUGGUCGCCGGCGGCGGCCAUAGGCACGGCGGAGCGGCGGCCGAGAGAGGGGAGGGAAGGGGGGAAACGAAGCGGCGGUCCACGGCUCACCCCGGGUCGACGGCGACGACGGAAACGGCGACCGGAGCGGAGGGAGGCGGCGGCGCGGCUCGAGUCGACGGGGACGGCGGCGUUCCGGUGGUCGGCGAGUGAAACAGAGGGGUGGACGAGGUCGGCGAGGAUGCGGCGAAGCCGAAGGAGGCGGCGCCGAAGCGGGAGGUGGUCCGGGGCGACGACGGCGGCGGACCGGAGCUCGGCGGUGACGGCGGAGAGAGAGAGCGACGGCGCGAGCUCGAUUCCGGCGGGGAGUGAGGGCGGCGAGUGGCGGAAACGGUGGAGGGAGGCACGGGGAGGGUUUAUAUAGGGUUGGGAGGGGGAGAGAGCGGCCGGACGAGGGGGAAACGGGCGUGGAAGAUCCGGCCGCCAUUGAUGGCGCCGGCGAGGUGAGGGGAGAGGUUUCCAAACGAAUCCGAGGGAGAGAGGGAGGGAAAAAUGGGGGGAAAGAGGGAGGGAAUCACGGGGAAUAUUUCCCCCCACUUUAUUGCGCGCGUGGACGGCGGGAGGCGGCGGGAUUCGCGGCGGCGGUGGCGCUAGGGCACGGGCGAGGCGGCGGGAGCGGCGGGAGGAAGGGGAUGACGUGUGGGCCCCACCCGUCAGCGAGGGAGGCGGGCGGGCCCGCCCGUCAGCGGCGCGCGCGCGGGGAGAGGCCGGAUGGGCCACGGGGAGAGGAGAGGGAGGGGGAGGGAGCUGGGCCGGACCGGCCCAAGAGGGAGAGGGGGAGGGAAAGGGAACUUUUUAGGGUUUUUCUUUUAUAAAAUCAUUUUAACUUUGUUUAUUUCUUAAUAAUUAUUAUUUGUGCUCUGAAAAUUCCACUAAAAUUUAUUUACGCAUUUUAGGCUUUUAGGAAAUAUACAAAAAUCCUCCAAGCCUUAUUUGACUUUUAACUUUGCACAUUUUAAUUGUUGGAGGCUUUCACACGGAUUUUAAUUAUUCUAGGCAUAAUUUCGAGGAUGUAUUUUAGAGUCGUUUUGGGACGCGACACUCAAUGGCUGGCUGUGAGUUGUUAAGUUUCCUUGACGCUUACUCCGGCUACCACCAAAUCAGCAUGGCAAAAGAGGACGAAGAGAAGACAGCGUUCAUCACGCCUUUCGGUGCAACACAUAUCAGCGCGGCAUCUAGGGAGCACUUGGUACUCAGCUUGGACAAAAGUCAAGGUGUACGUGGCCGACAUCGUCAUCAAAACCAAGAAAAGCGACUCAUUGAUCGACGACCUCAGGGAAACGUUAAACAACCUCUGAAGAUAUCAAAUGAAGCUGAACCCGGAGAAGUGCACGUUCGGAGUACCGUCAGGGAAGCUGCUCGGUUUCUUGGUUUCAGGUCGAGGAAUCGAGGCAAACCCCGAGAAGAUCAAGGCAAUCGAGAACAUGAAGUCGCUACAAGGCUUAAGGAGGUCUAGCGGCUAACAGGAUGUAUGGCUUAAUUGAGCCGAUUCGUCGCAAAGAUGGGAGAAUGAGGACAACCCUUCUUCGCCCUGCUCAAGAAGCAAGACAAGUUCGAGUGGAACCAAGAAGCCAAGAACGCAUUUAUCGCGCUCAAGCGCUACUUGUCAAAUCCUCCCGUACUCGUUGCUCCUCAAAUCAAUGAAGAAUUAUUCCUGUAUAUUGCUGCCACGCCUUAUUCUGUGGGUACAGUUAUCAUCGUAGAAAGGGAAAAAGUACAACAUCCCGCGUACUACGUAAGCGAGGCCCUCCACGACGCAAAAACUAGAUACCCACAGAUCCAAAAACUGCUCUACACCGUUGUCAUGACAUCGAGAAAGCUACGCCACUACUUCCAGGCUCAUAAGGUCACCGUCAUCUCCUCCUUCCCUUUGGGUGAAGUUGUCAGGAAUAAAGAUGUGGUCGGCCGAAUCGCUAAAUGGGUAGUCGAGCUAAGCCAAUUUGACGUCCACUUUGUGCCAAGAACAGCCAUCAAGUCACAGGUCUUCGCUGACUUCGUAGCCGUCUGGACUAUCCCAGAGGACAGACCAGCCGCCCAAACGAUCAACGAGACCUGGACCAUGGCAUUCAACGGAGCACUGAACAGCCAAGGAGCAGGCGCUGGAUUCAUCUUGACAUCGCCCACAGGAGAUCAGUUCAAGCAUGCAAUCCAUCUAAACUUCCAGGCAACAAACAACACGGCCGAGUACGAAGGACUACUCGUAGAGAUAAGAGCAGCAGUAGUACUUGGUGUCAAGCGACUAGUCGUGAAGGGAGACUCCGAGUUGGUCGCGAACCAAUUACACAAAGACUAUAAAUGCUCUAGCCCCGAAUUAGCCAAAUAUCUCACCGAAGUCAGAAAACUGGAACGCAAGUUCGACGGAAUCGAAGUUCGACACGUUUAUCGAAAAGACAAUGUCGAACCAGACGACCUUGCACGACGUGCUUCCAGACGAGAACCUCUCGAGCCCAGAACGUUCUUGGAUGUCCUGACGAAGCCAUCCGUCAAGGACACGCACGACGAUAGUACCACGGCUGAUACCAGCAACUCGCAGGGGCUGCAGAGGUACCUGAUGUCGCUGCAAUCAUAGAGACGACAGACGACUGGUGUACUCCGCUAAUCAAAUUCUUGGAGUCAGACGAGCUGCCGGAUGACGACACGGAGGCUGAGAAACUGUCCCGUCAGGCUAAGAUAUAUUGUAUGAUCGGCAACGAUCUAUACAAAAAGGCCCUGAACAGAGUUCUCCUCAAGUGCAUAUCAUCCGACGACGGACAAGCUCUUCUCCUCGACAUCCAUGAAGGCAUUUGCGGAUCUCACGUCGGUGCACGUACUCUGGUCGGAAAAGCUUUCAGGCAAGGUUUUUUCUGGCCAACCGCUCUUAAAGACGCAUGUGAAAUAGUGCAAUGAUGUGAAGCUUGCCAAUUCUUCAGCAAACACACCAAGUUGCCAGCACAAGCGCUCUAGACUAUCCCUUUGACAUGGCCAUUCUCGUGCUGGGGGCUCGACAUACUCGAGCCGUUCCCACGAGGACAAGGGGGCUACAAAUUUUUGUUCGUGGCAAUCGACAAAUUCACCAAGUGGAUUGAAGUAGAGCCGACAAGAGAAAUUAAAGCCGACAACGCCAUUAAAUUCAUCAAGGGGAUAUUCUGCAGAUAUGGGUUGCCUCACCACAUCCUUACAAACAAUGGAUCCCAGUUCACCAGCAGUGAUUUCCAAGAUUACAGCAUUGAACUCGGGGUCAAAAUCUGCUUCGCCUCAGUGUCACAUUCUCAGAGCAAUGGACAAGUCGAGCGGGCCAACGGAAUAGUACUACAAGGGAUUAAAACUCGCGUCCACAAUAGGCUCAUGGCCUAUGAUAAAAAGUGGGUCGAAGAACUUCCCUUAGUACUAUGGGCCGUACGAACCACGCCGACUACAUCCAACAAGGAAACACCCUUCUUUCUCGUAUACGGAUCUGAAGCCAUGCUCCCUAUGGAGUUACAACAUCAAAGCACACGCGUACAGAAGUAUACCGAUGAGGAACAGGACGAAAGGCGAAGCGACGAUGUGAAUCUUCUCGAGGAACAUCGCGAACGAGUUGCCGUCCGAGCAGCCGCAUUCCAACAGGCUCUUCGCCGAUAUCAUGAGAAGCGCAUCAGAGCUCGCACACUCUCCAUCGGCGACUACGUCCUCCGACGAGUUCAAAACUAGGCAGGGCGUAACAAACUCUCGCCUAAGUAGGAAGGACCAUACACGGUGGUUCGAGUACUGCGAUCGGGCAAGUUCAAAAUUGUAGAUGGCGAUGGCAGCGAGUUAUCCAACUCAUGGAACAUUGAUAAAUUACGUAAAUUUUAUGUAUAAAGUCAAUGUAUCCCAGACAUGUACAAAUCAAAUAUCCAAAGGUAUUUUGAUCUCCUUAUACACCAGUGUCCUUUUUCCAGAGAUCCCUUACCACGAUAACACCUACUCUUGAAAACGAACCUAUUGACCCUUUACGCCAUUUCGACAAGACCUCCGAGAAACCUACGGGAAUUUCGGCUGGGGACGCCCAGAGCAGAUAAGGGCUUGUCGGAUUCGAAGAGCCGAACGAACCAUGUAAGACCUGGUCAUGUAAGAGUGCUCAAAAGGUGUAUUAACUAAGCCGUGUAAUCGGAAAUUGGUUUUUCCAACUUCACGGCUGGGGGGCUAGGUAAAUUGCAAUUUCAGAUAGGCAAGUUACGGGCCAUCGAGCCUUCCCCUAUGAGAACAGACUUCUCCGAGGACAAGGCUGGGGGCUAGGGAGGGUACCUUACUCGACAACGGGCUAAAGACAGCCUGUAAAAAGAGUAGUACUCGCAUAUGACACGACCUAUUUACACCUUCAGUAGAUAGGUUCUUUAUGAUUACAAAACCCCUAACAAUAAUAUAUUACAAAAUUUCUGUCAGAUGUUUUUUACAAGGACUAAAAAUCUACCACGACGGCCAUUGCCAGUUCAUGGAAGCAAACACCUCCUCGGCUAGGGGCGCAAGCGAUCGCGCCGACCGGUCGACCUCAUGCGCCGACAACCGAGAACGUCGAAAACCCCCACGCAGGAACCCGAGAUCCAUUUGCGGACGAUGAUCUUGGACGCAAGCAAGGACGUGGCCCCUAGCGCAGCGCCUCGCACGACGACACUCCUCCUUGAGGCUGAUGUCGAUGCGCUGUCCUAUGUCCUCGAGUUGGGCACACGCCCCCGUCAUCUAAGACAAGUAGCCUGCCGUACUCUCCUCGGGCUUCGGGCGGUUGACCUUCAACUGACGACAGACAUCAGCCAUGGCACUACAGCAGCUCUUGAGGUAUGAGUUCACCCAGACCUCGCGACCACGAAGCACCUCCACGGCUUGGUCUUUUUUCACAACCAUGAGUGAUCGCUCAAGCUUGGCGACUUCAAACUUUGUCUUCCAGUAGUCGAUACGCCUAUCUCGCUCAGCGACGACACUAUCGAGGUCUACAGAGGGCAGAAGAUGUGACGGAUGCUACCUCCUAAACAAAAUCACAAGUUUAGGAGAGAGACUUCUAUAAAACAUCACACCUGAGCUCGCACGUGGGAACCCGACUUCACCGGCCUCAAGCAGGCAGCAAGUCGCGUCCAAUCCCCCAUCCUUGACGGCGUCGUCCGAGGAAGGCAGUCCAACCAUCUCGACAUGAGGAUGUCCGCCUUGCUGGACGUCCUCGGGAUCUACACAGCUACGGAAGGCAAAGGAACGCGACAAAUCAACACAUAAUUCAUGAAAGGAAGCUGCUGCAUCCAUAGAACAAUGGAAGUGUUUAUACAAAGACCAUAAUACAAGACAGAGAAAUUUACUCCUCAAAAAGGGGGAGGACACUCUCCCCGAGAUCCGAUACGCUCGCCAUCACGCUCUCCCGCGUAGUGUUAGCUGCCCCCUUCGCCAAGAUCUCCUUGAGGUCGACGUUAGGGAGAGCCAGCUUCACGCACGCGAGGACGUGACACGCCCCCGUGUGGAUCCCGUUAGAGAUCUCCUCGGCAACGUGAGCGGCGUGCCGUGACGGGAUGGUCUCCAUCUCAUCCGCGAGUUCCGACAAUGCCGACGUCAGUGACGUCUCAUUGGGGUGCGUUGGAAUAGAGGACUUCGCCCCGCACAACAACGCUAACUGGAGGGAAUCGUGGAGGGAAAAGAGGAUGUCCUACGUAUCAUUCAUCCUCUUCUCCAAACCUUGGCGCUGCAUCUCGUUGCUGGCCACGAUUUCCUUCAUCUUCUGAAGGUCCUCGUGGGCAACCACGAGUUGCGCCUCCAGCUGUGCCACCCUUCCGUCCGCCGCCGUCGCGCGAGCCUCCACACGGUCCAUUUGGGCCACCACCACCCGAGAACCCCUCUCGAGAAGGCGGUGGCACUCGGCCACCAUGUCAGACCAAGUGGUCAUCUUAGGUGGUGGCGCGGCCACAGGAGCAGCGGCACAUCCCACGGACUCCGCGACGAUGGGAGCAACCUCUACAUGAGGAGCGACAGCGACAGGGGACCCACUCAUCGCCGCCUCACUCCCACUCUGCGAGGAGACCACCGACGCUUUCCUACGAAGGCUAACAGACGUCAUUGAAGAUCGGGAAUGCGACAACAAGGUCGAUCAAGAAUUUCGCUUACCUCCCGGCGGGCAGCUUCAAUGUCCUCCUCUUCGGGGGAGGAGCCAGACUGCCCGUGUCCCACGUAAGACAGUAAAUCAUGACCCCAUUUUUGACAUCCUCGUAAAAGAAGUUAAAGGGCGAAGGCAGCACGCCUACCUCGGAACCAGCAGACUUCUACCGAGAACCAUUGGGGGCACUCGAUCUCGCCCACGGCUUACGCUUUGUCCCGCUGCCCCCAGCGAUGGUGGGAGCGGAGGAGAUCUUGGCGACUUCGUCGUCGACCUUCUCCUUUAGCGAAGCGGAGGCCCGGUGAUCGACAAGAGGACCGAUUACAUCCGUCAACGGCAGAAUCUGCAAGAGUUGAAGUCACUUUGGCCCUUCAAAGGAAUAAAAGAUAUAAGGUGUCCUGGUUCUCGCUUACAUUGAUGGCGGUAGCCUUCUCGGCUGCCGACUUGUCGCAAAGCGGGGCCGGCACCCCUUCCGCCGUGGAGGGCGCGCUGAUCAGGACCUCCUCGACUCGCUGCGCCACCGUAUCGUCAGGAAGAUCUGAAACAAACAAAGAUGGAAGGAAGCAUGGUUAGAUCUCGUCCACGGUUUCAACAUCAGGAGCGAAAAGAAAGUGCAACGCAAGGACGAAUACCCCGCGAAGAAAUCUGAGUUAUGUCCUCGGUUCCGGCGUAGUCGAAUGCGGGGUGAGCGUGAGCUUGCAGCGGUUGGAUCCGACGACUAACGAAAUCCUCAACAAUUUCAUAGCCAGUCAGUCCUCGCUCGCGAAGACCACUCACGAUGUCGACAAAAGCCUGGAGGGAGGGCGUCAUCGGGGGUUUGGAGUUCCAGUCCUCGGAACGAUCUGGUUGAACCUCGGGAACGAUAAGAACCGGGUCGAGUUAUUUUAUCCCCAGGUAUAACCAUCUCGUCCUCCACUGGCUCCGAGAUGAGUGGCAUUGGAGUGGGAUGUAUCUUGCCUUCAUGCCAUCACGAAGGCGGAAUCCGCAACAUCCUGAAACCCAAUUGGGUUCCAUCCACCGGAGUUCGUAGAAAAAGCGAAAAAGAUCAAGGAAAGGCACUACCCCAAUGUAGGGCUCGCAGAGAUGAGCAAAAAUGCUCAGGAAGGCAAUGGAGUUGGGGUUUAGGUGCAGGAGAAAGACCGUAGAAGUUUAAGAUCAGCAAGAGAAAUUCGGAAGGAGGAGGUAGAAAGCCACAUUUGAUGAAAUCCUCUACCGCUAUCAUGCGACCUAAAAUGGGAGAAGGAACAGUACCUCCUGCCUCCCUCACCAUGGUUUGCUUCGGAGGGAUGGCUCCUUCGUUGUACAGCUUCUUCAGCGUGGCGGCAUCGGAGGAAGACUGCUCGAGGUCCGCCAUCGGAAGAAGAUUGCCGGUGGAGGGUGUUGAAGAUUGGGGAACGAAGAGUCCGAAGAAGUUGAGGAACAGUGAGAGUUUUUUGGCAAACGGACCCGAAAUGAAUCUCAAAAUCCUAUUAUAUAGGCGCACUACCUGACGGUUCGUAUUUCGAGGAAAGGGGAGAGAUUGCCGCCGAAAAUUUCUGGGGACCGUUGUUCAGACUUCAAUUUAAAUUCAAAACCUGCACAGAUAGGCUCCCUGAAAGCGUUAUCGACAACUCUACAUCUCUACGGUUAUAUAACCGAGGUUGAUCUAACGAGUAUGACAACGCUAUAUCAGGAGAAGUCGCGUGCGAGAACAUGAAUUCAUUUAAGUUAAAGUCGGGGGCUACUGUCAGGGUUACGGAUAAGGCAUACCCUCUAUCCUACGACUUAUGGAAUACACCAAUAAGGUAUACCUUCAUGUAUACGGUUGGUUUCCAUAUACGUCAUUAGGAAUUCGCCUCAAAUUAUGGAAAAUAUCUCCACGAAGUUAAGGAAUUGCAGAAGUCCUACUCGGAAAGGGUAAAAUCUCCAGUAUAUCGUGUCGGUUUACAUAUCUUCAAGUCUUACUUGAGGGUCAAGGUAUCCCACGAUAUAAAAGGGACCCCUAGGGAAAGGCAAAGGAUAUCGUAUCUCAUCGCCAACACACCCACCAAAGUUUACGAAGCCGGAGUCCCCGGAGCCAACUCGCUGGGAGAUCUCGUCGAAUUCCUCGACUACGGUCUCAUUGGCAUCGCCAAUUCGGUUACUCUCUUUGUAAUCUGUUCUCAUCAUCAUCAAUCCCAUAUAAACUGGACUAGGGCUAUUACCUGAUAAGGGGCCUGAACCAGUAUAAUCCUUGUCUUUUGUCUGUUUUGAUGUCGUACUACGUAGAUCCCUGUUCCAACGUACCCUAAUACCCUAUUCUUUCGGUCCGCGAGUAUCACUCGUUGACAGAUAGCAAGAUAGUUAUAUUAGGAAAGAAUCUAUUUUAUACCGCCGAGUUUGUUUGAAUUCAACGAUUUGCCUUGACAUUGUCUUUCUAUGCGCCAUUGGGCUAGGCCUUAUUUUCAAAAAUAUCCUUAUGGACAUACAAGGUUAACAAUUGAUUAUCUAAUUUGAAGUUUUAAAAAAAUAAAAACUUUUAUGUGGCCUCCUUACACAACAUGGACGUUUGUAUAGAAGUUUUAAGUUUUUUACAUUUCUAUUUUUUAAAAAAAUAUAAUUUAUCUGCUAUAUGCUAUAUAAAAUAUUUUUUAUUGUUGUUUUUAAUAUAAAUCAUCUUUCAUACACUACAUAAAAUAUUUUUGUGCUAUUAUGUCUUGUAUAAGCAAAUUCUCUCUCAUAUAGCACAUAAAAAUAUUUUUUUAAAAAAAUCUAAAUUUACCAGAAAAAACUUGAAACUUGUAUACAAACUUACAUGUUGUGUAAGGAGGCCACAUAAAAAUUUUCAUAUUUUUUUGAAACUUCUGAUGAGAUAAAUUAAUUGUUAAUCUUGUAUGUCUCUUAGGUGUAUUUUUGAUAUUUUUGAAAAGAAGAUCUAGCCCAACGACGUAUUGUAGAAGAAUUGAUAAAGCCACCGGUAUAUUAUAGAAAGAGAUAAUGUCGAUAGCAAAUCGUUUAACUUGAAAGACUCGGUGGUAUAGAAUGGAGUCUAGUAGUCAUCAUAAGACCACAUUUCUGGAAAUGCACACAGUGAUGAGAAUGAGAGAAUCUACUUCAGAUGGGUGAUGAUGGGUACAUUUCAAUAUUUUUAUAUAGUUAUGACAGUAUAGAAGUUAAGGUGAAAGAACAAAAACUUGUCUAUGAAAUCUGGCUCUAUCAAAAAUCUAAAUGGACAAAGAAGCUCUUAUAUAUGUCUGAAACAAAAUGAAAAUGUGGCUCAUGCACUUGAUAGUGCAGUGAUAAAAGAUGUGUGGUUUUAACCAUAAGGUCCCAUGUUUAAUUCUCAACACGCUUAUAAUUUUUUUUAGAACGAAAAGAAAAUCUGAAUAAAAAUAAUAAGCAUGGGCCGGCCCACGCACCUAUUAAAUAUUAAAGGAUGGGGUUUUCCUUUUCCGGAAGAAAGAAAACGGACAGACUUGUCUCCGACCCGACCCGACCCGACCAGAUUGAAAGCAGGCGAGGCGAGGCGAAGCGAGCAGCUUGGGUAGCGCAUAGAGACGAACACUUGCAGUGCGUGCGCCACGGGACGGGAUGACCAUGGCGAUCUCUUCCUCCUUUGGUAUUUUUCGCUCUCUUCCCCCUUCGCCUCCUUCCACGGCCGCCGCCGCCACCGCCGCCGCGUCCACUAACUAAUCUCUCCUUCCGAUCGCGCUCAUGCAGGUGGCUGCUAACAUUUUUAUUUUAUUUUUGACCUUCUUCGAUCCUGGUUGCUCCCUGUGUGUGAGUGAGAUUCAGGUAAGUUUCCUCGGCGAGCUCGCCGUCCUCGCACGCGCGCUGGAAUUGAGUUAGCUAAUCUCAUUCCCGUCGCCGCAGAUUUGAACAGCAGAUUUGAACAGCAGAGAACGAAGAAGAAGCCGGCGGCCGCUCGAAACCCUUGACGGCGACCGGCCGGCGCUGCGCUCUUCAACCACUACACAUACUUACAGUGAGUGACUAAGGUAAAUUAAUUUCCUCCGCACUCGAUCGUAGAUGAUCCUGCAUACGCGUUCUCCGGCUUGCAUUGCUAGCUGAUCCUAGUUGAGGCCAGGCCACCAACUACUCGAUCGAUAGAUUUUCCGUUCGUUCGUUUCGUCCGGCGCGUGUGUGCUCCAGUGCGAGGGGGCGAUCCAUACAUACUCCAAAUCAACCAAAGUUAAUCAUCUGCCAUGUUCAUUUCAAUUCAUCCAUGCAUCCAGUGCUGUGCGAACAAAAGUGAUGUGAUUUUAUAACCUUUUUUUGAGUUGAACUUGUCUAGACCGAGUUGGGGGUUUAAUUUGUCUCAUCACCUUAUGGCUUGAUUUCUUUAGGUGCUAAAACUCGUUGGUUGUGUGCCGAGGCCGUAGAUGUAAAUCAUUUUCAUUAUCUAAAAAUAUAUCGAUCAUCUGCUUGUUUGAUUUGUGUGUACUGCAUACAUCGAUAGAUUGUGUCUGUCAUGCAUGUUUGAAUCUCUCAUACACAUGUAUAGUAUAGUAUAGUAUAGUAUAUCUCAGUAGUCGAUAAAUCAUGAUGCAGGGCAGGGGGCUUGGCUAACUGAAGAUCGAGAUCAGAGAGGCUAUCAGAGCAGAAACAUGGAGAUCUAUCUUAUCAAUGGCAGAGGACAAAUUCCACUUUCCCAUUGGAGAUCCCGAGGGCCGUGGUACCAAGAACACGUAUGCAUCUCUGGUCAGCAGCAUUGUCACUAGAAUCACCACCAGAGCAAUGGCGACCGUGGAGGGAAAGCCAGUUUGUGGGCCCUCGGGGUACUUUGAGAUAAUCCUUUUUCCUAAACCUGGCACUCAGUUCGCCGCAAAACAUGCUAAUGGCCGCGUCCGCCUGCUGUUUAACUACCAGAAUCUCUAUCUCGUCGCUUUCAAGGUGCAAGGUAAAUGGCACAAAUUCAAAGACCUCACUCCAAAAAUAGCUCCAGACUAUGCCAGCAUCAAGAGGAAGAAGCACUGCGAGGCCAAGAAUCUACCCUUCGAGUCCAACUACGGAGUAAGAGGAAUGGCGGCAAACUUAGCACAACUCAAGGUGAGCAGACAAACUCCACUUCAGAUCUAUAAGAUGCUGAGUUUGUAUGACCCUGAGCACAACGCGGGAAUGGUCCGAUUGUCAGACUUGCAAAAGAUGCUCUUCAAGACCUGUGCUGUGUUUCCGGAGGUGUUCAGAUUCCCAUUGCUGAAGAAGCGAGUCGUGUACCUGAUGGGUAAGACAGCAGACGAAGAGAGUACUGUCGGUGAGCAACACACCGAUCUGUUCCAGAACUGGGGUGAUUGUUGCAUGGCACUCAGGAUGGGGAGACAAGCUUUCACGCCGAUGGCUGAUCUAGAUAUCUACACGUUCGACCAGCUGCUCUCUACGAUCGGAGCCGUUUUGCCAGUUUGAAAUAUUCACUCUACGUGUCUUAGCUUGCUCCAAGCUGCUAGCUGCUUGCUUCUACCAUAUUAUAUAACUGCGUGCUGCUUAACUGUACUAAAGACCCCCCCUGCAGCUACCUCUGCUCUCCUUAGAUAUAUAGGAGUAUAUGCAUAUAUAUAAUUAUUACCACUAAUCAUCUAGUAUAUCAUACGACGACGACGAUACAUAUGUAUAUGAUCCACUUAAUGUUACCCUGUUACUAUCUAGCUACUUGCCAGAUUUUGAUCCACUACUCCAUGUUGGUGCAUACUUGAGACUAAAUUUGCGUGCACAUACUAGCUACCAUGUAUGUACGUACUAUUAUGUACCCUUCUUCUAGACAGCUUAUUAAUUAGUACUAAUUAGCUUGCAUAUGGUGUGUCGUUCAUCCAUUCUGUUAUCAGUUAUCCUGCAGUUAUUACAUAUAUAUAUAUACAGAUGUUGUACUGUCAAUAUAUCAGUUCAUGCAUAUGCUCUCUACCUAUCUACGUAUUAUAUAUGCAUAUGCAUGAAUCAUAUAUAUAUAUAUAUAUAUAUAUAUAUCUUGCUGAGAAAUAAGUGGAUAUGUAUACAACGUAACUUACACGGGUACACAAGUAUCCAUGCCAUGCACGCCAUAUUUAUGCUACAAAUUGUUGCCAUAUAUAUGUAUAUAUGACGCCUCAUGUAUAAGUGCAACUAGUUAAUGAAAGCCAUGCAUUCAUACUAAAAUUUACGAACAUAUACAUUCACAUUAGUAUGUUAGGCUCGAUUAUUAAAUGUGUUCGGAAAAUUCGACCUCUUAAUUAUUACUCCUUAUAUUAAUUAAUUAGGGCAAGUUCAUACUAAGAUACUCCCUAAUUCGACCUCUUAAGUAGUACGUACCACUUAAAUUUUGUUCAUGUCAUGGAUCGGAUCUCCUCGUCAACUAGUAACACUGGUGGAGAAACCAUCUUUCGUCGGUCGGCCGAUUUCCACAAUAGUUCCGGAUGCAAUAAAAACCGGGGCUAAAGAUGAUCUUUAGUCCCGGUUCAAAAGGGUAACGGGCAUAUUUGAUCUUUAGUCCCGGUUGGUAAAGAUCAUCUUUAGUCCCGGUUCGAAUGCUGUCAGGGCAUGUCAGGCCCCCCCGGGAUCUUUAGUCCCGGUUGAUACUUUAGUCCCGGUUGGUAAUACCAACCGGGGCUAAAGAUCCUGGUGAUCUUUAGCCCCGGUUGUUGCUACCAACCGGGACUAAAGUCCCACCCCUAUAUAUAUGUCUUCUUCCUCCUCCAGCUGCCCGAGCAAGCUUCAAAAUUUAUUCAAAAAAGAGGGGAGGUCAUGCCAAAAUUUCUAUUGAAUUUAUUUUGGUUAUUACAUACAAAUCGGAGGUGCCUAAAAGGUUUGCAACUUCAUCCUCCAAUAUUUUUUUUUGUCAUACUACAUUUGCACCUAUGUUUUGCACACUUUUUUUUGUCUCCAAAAUUUAGUUGUAAGUUGAUGAGAGAGAAAAUGUGUGUGGGGAAGAAAGAAUAUAUAGAAAUUUAGUUCAUUUGCUAAACAAGGUUUUAUAAAAUAGUUGAGAAGGAAAACUCUAGUGAAAGUUAAUCUUAAAUAAUAGAAAACAAACUAAAAUGAAAAUUAAAAGAAGUAAAACACAUUAAAAUUAGUUUAAAACUUUACACAUAGUUUUUAAGAAUUAUUUGGUGUAAUAUUUUAUUAUUUUUGUAUGAAUAAAGAUAUCUUAUAAUUAUUGUAUGACUGUCAUUAUUGUAAGAAUAAUUAUUUGUGUACGGUUUUUUUUGACUCAUGUAGAUGGAUCGGCAAUGGAUGUACGCUGACCGGCGGUCCAAAAGAGUUUAUUGACGGCGUGCACUAUUUUUUGAGAGUGGCCGAAGCUAACAGGCAAAGGGGUUUUAUUUGUUGUCCAUGCAAUAAUUGUGAGAAUCAGAAGGAGUAUUCUGCAUCCAGGACUAUUCAUUUCCACUUGUUUGAGUCGGGGUUCAUGCCAAGCUAUAAUUGUUGGACAUCCCACGGAGAGCAAGGUGUUGAAAUGGAAGAAGAUGAAGUGGAAGACGACAAUAUUCCGGACUUUGCUCAGUAUGUUGGAUUUGAAGAAAAUCAAACGGGCGAGGAGGAAACAGCUGCUGAUGGUAACGACGUUGCGGAUGAUCUUGGUCAGAUGUUGCAGGAUGCCAGGGAGGAUUGCGAAAGUGAAAAGGAGGCCUAUAAAUUGGACAAGAUGUUGGAGGACCACAGAACUUCGUUGUACCCAGGUUGCGAGUAGGGGCACAAAAAGUUGGAUACCACUCUGGAGUUCUUGCAAUGGAAGGCAAAAAAUGGGGUUAGUGACAAGGCAUUUGGCGAUUUAUUGAAACUCGUCAAGAACAUUCUUCCGGGGGGAAACAAAUUGCCCGAGACAACGUACGAGGCUAAGAAGAUAGUCUGCCCGUUAGGACUGGAAGUUCAUAAGAUUCAUGCAUGUCCGAACGAUUAUAUCCUAUAUCGCGGUGAGGAGUAUGAGAACCUAGAAGCAUGCCCUGUUUGCAAAGCACUACGAUACAAGAUUAGACGAGACGAUCCAGGAGAAGUUGACGGGCAGCUAACAAAGAAGAGAAUUCCUGCUAAGGUGAUGUGGUAUUUCCCUAUAAUACCAUGGCUAAGGCGUUUGUUCAGGAAUAAGGGGAAUGCUAGAAUGUUGCGAUGGCACGCUGAAGAGCGUCAACAGGAAGGGAUGCUGAGACACCCCGCCGAUGGUUCGCAGUGGCGAAACAUCGACAGAAAAUUUAAAGAAUUUGGAAAGGACGUACGAAACAUACGGUUUGGUUUGAGUACGGAUGGCAUGAAUCCUUUCGGAGAGAUGAGCAGCGGCCAUAGCACUUGGCCCGUUACGAUGUGCAUCUACAACCUCCCCCCUGGCUAUGCAUGAAGAGGAAGUACAUAAUGAUGCCGAUUAUUAUUCAAGGCCCCAAGCAACCUGGUAACGACAUCGAUGUGUACCUAAGACCACUGGUCGAAGAUCUUAAACAGUUGUGGAAGAAGGUAGGUGUCCCCGUGUGGGACGAGGACAAACAUGAGGAGUUUAACCUACGAGCGCUGCUGUUCGUAACCAUCAACGAUUGGCCUGCACUUAGUAACCUAUCCGGACAGUCCAACAAGGGGUACAAGGCUUGCACUCACUGUAUGGAUGAAACAGAAAGUACGUAUCUUAAGCACUGUAGGAAGGUUGUAUACAUGGGUCAUCGUCGAUUCCUUGCAGCAAACCACCCGGUACGAAAGAGAGGCAAGCACUUCGAACAUAAGGCCGACCACCGUACGAAGCCUAAACAUCGCAGCGGGAAAACAGUGUUUGCUAUGGUUAAAGAUCUUAAAGUAGUGUUCGGAAAGGGGCCUGGAAGCCAGCCUAUAGAGAGCGAAGAUGGUCACGCGGCGAUGUGGAAAAAGAACUCUAUAUUUUGGGAGUUACCAUAUUGGGAAUUCUUGGACGUACGCCACGCAAUCGACGUGAUACACCUCACUAAGAACCUUUGCAUAAACCUUCUUAGCUUCCUAGGUGUAUACAGAAAGUCGAAAGAUACACUGGAAGCACGUAAUGAUCUGAAGCAUAUGGAACAAUGCGGCGACCUUCACCUGGAACCAAAGGAGAAAGGAAGCCAUUACUUGAGUCCAGCUAGCUACACUCUUAGCAAGGCAGAGAAGGAAAGUAUGUUUGAAUGCUUGGAGAGCAUAAAGGUACCAUCUGGAUACUCCACGAAUAUCAAGCGAAUAAUAAGCACGAAGGAGAAGAAGUUCACAAACCUAAAGUCUCAUGAUUGUCACGUGUUGAUGACACAACUGCUACCAGUUGUAAUAAGGGGUAUCCUUCCAGACAAUGUCCGGGCAACAAUAACAAAGCUAUGUGCAUUCAUGAAUGCAAUUUCGCAGAAGGUCAUCGAUCCGGAUAGAUUAGAAGCCCUUCAGAAUGAAGUGGUGCAAUGUCUCUCAGUUUUGAGUUGAUAUUUCCACCUUCAUUUUUCAAUAUAAUGACGCAUCUGCUUUGUCACCUUGUGAAAGAGAUCCGUAUUCUCGGGCCUGUGUACCUACACAACAUGUUUCCUUUCGAGAGGUACAUGGGCGUUCUGAAGAAGUAUGUUCGUAACCGUGCUCGUCCAGAGGCAAGCAUCGCCAAGGGUUAUGGAACAGAGGAGGUCAUCGAAUUUUGCGUAGAAUUUAUCGAAGACCUUCGCCCAAUCGGGGUACCUAAAUCACGCCAUGAAGGGAGACUACGGGGAAAGGGAACUCUCGGAAGGAAAGCAAUAAUGACGGUAGACAACAAUUUAUUCCGUAAAGCCCAUUUCACUGUUCUGCAACACUCUUCAUUGGUAGCUCCUUACAUCGAGGAGCACUUGGCUCUAGUUCACGCCAAGAACAUCGGUAAGUCCGAUGCAUGGAUUACACGGCAUCACAUUGAUACUUUUCCCACGUGGCUACGACAACAUCUCAUGGGUAACGAGUCGAUCAACCAACAACUUGCCUUCCUGGCGAGGGGACCGUCUGGGUCGAUCACGACAUUCCAGGGAUAUGAGAUCAAUGGGUACACAUUCUACACGAGAGCCCAAGACAUGAAGAGCACGAACCAAAACAGCGCUGUUCGUGUCGAUGCCAUGGGACACGAUAGAACAACUGCCACGUAUUACGGUGCCAUCGAGGAUAUAUGGGAACUUGACUAUGGUCCUUAUGGUUCCUCUGUUCCGGUGCCAAUGGGUUAGGUUGACUAGUGGAGGCGUAAUGAUUGAUGAUAGUGGUAUGACAACUGUUGACCUUAACAAGGUUGGAUACUCGGACGAACCUUUUGUCCUUGCCAAUGAUGUAACGCAAGUCUUUUUCGUGAAGGACAUAUCUAGCAAAGGAAAGAAGGGCAGAGGGCCUGACGAGCCUAAGUGUCAAGUGGUUCUCACAGGCAAAAUAAAAA